RNAcentral lists this long non-coding RNA (54495 nucleotides) under Cicer arietinum (chickpea). RNAcentral describes it as "long non-coding RNA (CARI_LNC001552)". The record is from RNAcentral. Lineage: Eukaryota; Viridiplantae; Streptophyta; Magnoliopsida; Fabales; Fabaceae.
CAAGUGCAGUGCUAGCCAGCAAUGCCAUGGCCAUUGAAGUUUUGCUUGGUGGUGAUGAUGGGUCAUUGGCUUUUGUUCCCAACAGUUUCUCUGUGAGUCCUGGGGAGAAGAUUGUGUUCAAGAACAAUGCUGGUUUCCCUCACAACGUUGUGUUUGAUGAAGAUGAGAUCCCAAGUGGGGUUGAUGCAACGAAAAUUUCCAUGUCUGAAGAAGACCUUCUUAAUGGACCUGGUGAGACUUACACCGUUACUUUGGAUGCUAAGGGAACCUACAAGUUCUACUGUUCACCUCACCAAGGAGCUGGUAUGGCUGGAAACGUCACUGUUAAUUAAAUUAUAAUGUUUUGUCUCCUAUUUAUAAUAUGGUUCUUUCAUGUUAAUUUUGUUCUUGUAGAAGAGCUUAAUUAAUCGUUUGUUGUUAUGGAAUACUGUUGUAUGAGAUGAACUGAUUUAAUGUAAUUCAUUUCCUUAAGUGGAGUCAGAACGUUUCCUCCUUAAUUAACUAGAUAUAUAUAUAGAUAUAUGCAUCCUCUGUCCUUAAAGAGAGAACGCACUUGAUCGAAACACCGAUUUCACAUACUAUUUUCCAUCACAUUACAUUACUUUACUUAAUACUUAUUUAUUUUUAUCUCACUUACCUUACACAAGACAAAACGUGUUUUCUCUAAUAUGAUGAUCAUAUCCUAUCUAGAUAUUGCAAGUCUGGUAUAAAUGUAAAUUUGAAAUCGAGGAGAACACAACAUAAGAUAAGAUCAUUUUGAUCAUACAAAUGUUUCUGUCACUCAAAACGAUCAGUUAAUUUAGAGUAAAAUAAUUAAUCUUUUUCUAUAAACAACGACAAAACAUAUCUCACUGACUAGGAUAUACUAGAUGGAGUAAUCGAAGUCAUAAUGUUCUCCAAUAAAAAAAUAAUCUUUUUUUCAGAGUUCUCAAUUUAUAUACUCAAAAAAUAGUACCAGAGUUCCAUCUUCUUAAAAAUAGAAUAGAGAGAAUCUCAACAGAUAAUAAUUGGCAUAAAAUAAAGAGUGAACUAUUACUACAUCUGUACUUUCAUAAGAUAAAAUGUUUGGUAAAUGAUACACCAAUCAGGAAGGAAUAAUAUGGUAAGGCUAGUAUAUAUGUUAGAGGAUGAAUAUCCAUUUCAUAUUGAUCUUAACACAACUUUUAAGUAAAGAAAAUACUCUAAAAUAUAAAAUUUGAAACAAACUUUUUACCUGGUAAGUGUGAAGUUCUCAUUGGAACAAUUAUGAACGAAAUCCUUGUGUGGGGCUAAGAAAUUAUGGUUUACUAUUACACACUUGAAGCCCCCAACUCUAUACAGAAAAAAAUCAAAUACAAAAUAUACAGCGUGGCUGUGGUAUAAGCAGAGCCUAUUGCAUACUAUACUGUAGAUGGUUAAAAAAGAAUUCAGGGCAAGGAGCCAUUAAACUUUCGCCCAUCACGUCCUGCAAUCCAAUUCUCUCCCUUACUUUUUAGAAUGGGUACUUAUUUUACGUUGAAAUUAAGUUAUGUCUAUGUAGUUAGAGCAUCAGGAAGAGUAGAACGUGAACCAAGCACCUUGCCUCCGACAUCUGGGAAAGAUUCAAAUCCAGGUAAAGAGCUUACUUUCCCAUUUGCAUUCACUUUGAUGGGAUAUUUCAAAAGGUGCCCUUGCAAUGAAGUAAAAUCAUCAGAUGUAAACUUCUUCCAGUUGUCUUCGGCGAUCUUGUUCACGCUCUUCAGGCAUUCCAAACUUUCAGGCUCGUUGAAGCAAUCGUGUAUGGUUCCUAAGUGCUCUGCCCACAAGGACAUUCUAUAUCCAUAUACCUGCAAAUAUUUCAAUCACACAAGUCUGUGUGAAAGUGAUAACUGGAGAAUUACGAGUCUAGAAAGAGGUAUGGAUCCUUUCCAUUCUCAAAGGAGGGCUCCAUUACUAAUAUUUUGAAUGUAUAGAUGUCCAAUUAUUCACAAUGUGUCACCAUUUCUAGAAAUAUGAAUCUUUAUACACCAAAAACUUUAGUAAUGGACUCAUUCAUUUCUAUUAAAAAAUGGGGAGGAUCCUUGCACUCGCCAAGAAGUGGAGAGGGUCCGCCCUCGCCAAGAAAGAUGGAAUCAUAGUUCUGUAUAGAUAGGUUUGUAGUACUAUAUUUAGUGAACUUUAUUGUACAAACCUGGCCGUGUGGAUAUCCCUUUUUCUUACUCCAUGUAUGACGGGGUUGAUAAGCACCCAUUGCUAUCUCAGUAUCCCUUGAUCCAGCCAAAGAUCGUUGGUUGAUAUUGGCAGACCCAACCAUCACAUAUUCAUCAUCCACAACCAUUCCCUUGGCAUGUACAUAAAUCAUAAAUCGUUGGAACUUUUGUGAAGCUGAGACCUGAUGAUUAUUGCAGAAAAACAUUAGCCUAAUGCUAUCAAAAUAAGAAUGAAUACCAACCCUGAACUGCAUAUCUACCAGCAAGUAGAUCGGUUGGUCAUAUACUUCACAUUCACAAUCCAGUAGUACUCUAGAGGAAUGUAACAAGCAAGUUCUAUAACAGAUGAAACAGAGUAACUAUUUGAAAUUUGAACUCCAUAAAACAUAUAAGCAAGCAAGUUCUAUAGUAAAUGAAACGGAGUAAUUAAUUAAAAUUUUAAUGUCAAUGAUUUAACGGUUCAAUGUUAACUAAUUACACUAACUAUGACUAUUAAGUUCUAUAAAAUUUUGAACAAUUACCGUGUCACCAUUAUCCGAAUGUGAAUUAUUUGUAGUUGAAACUUCAGUUGCAAACUUCUCUCGGUUACCGAGACAGUAAAAGUUGAGGUAAUCUUGUGGAUUCCUAUUUUCAAUGUUAUGAAGCUUUAACUCCCGAGCUAUGAUUUCAUACAUCAUUUCCAUAGUUUGUCCCUGAGAAUGUGAGUUCCUCUUCAUAAGCAUAACAAUAACAAUUGAGUGAUGUACCAAUUAUCUACUAUAUUAAAAUUUUAUAUGCUAUGCUAGCCAAUUUUUUUGUACUAUAUUACCUGAAAAUAGAGAAUCUCUUGCACAGCGGCAGAAGAAGGGACACCUUCAGGCCACAUUGGAAUGACAAUGUAAACUGUAAAUCUCUCAUUGGCUCGGAUCUUACUGACAAUCUUCAGUGCUAACUCGAUAGGAAUUAAGUUAUCAGCACCUGAUCAUAGAAUGGAUUAUUAGAAUUAGUAGAAAAUGUUUUAACGAGAUACUAAUAAAAAUUAUCAACAAUAUGUCAGACCUAUUAUUUGAGAUCAAUAUAAGAGGAGAGGGAAGAAAUUAAAUAUUGCAGUUAUGUUUUUAUUAAUUGCCAGUUAUGUUGUUUAUUGUUAGGAAUAAAUAAAGGAAAGGAGAAAAUGAUUAUUGGAUAGUUAUUGAGUGGUUAUGGGAGGGAGAGACCAAACUCUCUAAUACUUGGAAGGGAGAGACCAAGGGCUGGUUUGCUUGUGUUUUGAAUUUUGGUUCUUGAAAACUAUUUUAUAAAUCAAUAUUUAAAAACUACAUUUUGAGAACAAAAUUAAAAAAAAAAUCUGUUUGAUAAUUCUAUAUUUAAAAACUGUUUUAUAAAUGAGAAAAAUAAAAAAUAAAAAAUAAAAAAUUGUUUGGCAACUUUUCUAAAAAAAACAUGUAUACAUGUGCACCUUCACAAUUCUGUUCUAUUCAAGGCUAAUUUUUUCCACUUAUUUACAUAUAUGCCAUUAAUGAAAAGUGAGUUCACCUGUUUUCUUGUUUUUGAUUUUUGACUAAAAAAUGAGAAAACUAAAAACAAAAACAUUUAUAAGCAAUUUUGCUUUUUUGGUUUUUAAAAUAACAAAACAGGAGACAAUUUUGCUAUUGAAUUUUGAAAAAAAAAAAUCAUCAAACAGGUUUUCUUCUUUUAUAGUAUUUAAAAAUGGAAAACAUAUUUUGAAAACACUAUUCAAACAGGCCCCAAGACUCUCAAAUUUCUUGGAUAGCAAUUCCUUGCAACAACCCUCUCUAAUUCUCUGUAGGGAACCAAUUGUAACCAGCCUAAAUGUGUAAAUUCACAUUCUCUGUAGUGUAAGUGAUUCUGUUUUUGUAGUAAUCUUAUUCUACCAUCAACAAAGUCAGUUUCUACAAAUAAAUUCUCAUUUGGUACGAGUUUAUACCUUAUCCCAGUAGACAUCUUUGAAGGUAAAACAAAGAUUAAAAAAAAAGGACAUUUUAAGUCAUAUAGAUAUAUUGGCUAUACAAUCACAAUAUACAGCUUAGAACUAUUUUGAGUCUGUUUGCCAUUCAUCAUCAGUAUUAGGCAGUUGCUCAAACACACUGAAUAAAAGAGAAUGGCUUGGGCAGGUUUUAAGGAAAAACAACGAUAACAAAUGAAUAUUUCAAGUUAUAGAGAUAGUUUAGUCACACAAUAACAGAACGUAGCUUAUAAUUCAUCAUGGUAAUACGAAGGUGCUCAAUUGUAAUAUGUAAGCACAAGAGCACGAGCAUGGUUUUGCAAACUACAAUAUUCUGAAAUAUUCUUAAGCUAAAAGUAACAAAAAUAUGUCAUGAGCUAAUUAUGAGCAAUCACAAUUGUAAGCAAAUGCAACAAGUUACAUGAGUAAAUAUCAAUAUUCUGCCAAAACCUGCUUCUUUGUAAGAUGGCCAAGCAAAGGAUGAUCCAAUGAAGUAUUGAUUCUCGAUAUAUAUAAAAUGCUGAGCAGAUCUGAUAGCGUGUAUGUAUGCUGUUUGAAUACUCUUGUCUAUGACCAGAUUUUUAGCACAAAUAAGAUUCUGCAAUGAGUGAUUAAUAAAAUUAAUUAGUGAGUCAGCUAAUACCAAAGGCUCUAUAACAUAUACCCAUAGAUCAGCUCUUUGAUGGAUAAGUUCAUCUUAUAAAAGAUUAAAUCACCUGAGCCUCGGCUUCAUGCACAUCCUUAGGAAAUCCUUUCAAAGAGCCCGAAUCAAUGGAUCGAAAAACCUGUGAAAAACAAAAAUAAAGAAAUCAAAUUAUCUGUUAAAAAAAAAUAUAAAUUAAAUAGAAACUACACUUUAAAGACAGUGAAUUCGUAACCUGAACGUGCCAAUUUUCAGGGUCAUCUUCCUUUGAAACCCAUAAUUCAGGAUCAUCAUUUGGAAGUGAUUCAGAAGGACUGAGAAUCCAAGAGAUGCGGUCUAACUUAAUCAAAGAAUCAUCAACCCAGUGAGACACUCUUUUGAAUUUUUGACCUAAAUCAGACCAUUUGGUGGCUCUCCUCCAGCGCUGCUCAAAAUUAGUGAGUAUAUCAUAUGCAGCGGGCCCUUCAAUUUUGCAAUGUAAAUCGUGCCAUGGUUGCCUUGGACCCUUGGUUCCAGCCUAUUAUUAAAAUGGAGGAUAAAAAGAAAUUUCACUUGGUAAGAGUGACCUGGCGAUCUCAAUCUCAGUAUCAAACAAAACCUUAGGCAAUUUAUGUUUAUGAAGUAUCAGAGUAUAUGUAUCGAGUGUAUUGAAAGCUUCACCUAAGCUAUUGUAGUUACCGACUGUUAAGUUAGUUUGGGAUUAGUUGAGUUAGUUAGGCAGUCACUAAAGAUUUAACUCGUGGGUUAAAAUAUUUAACUCGUGUAUUCAGUUUAGUCUUGUAAUCAUUUCCUAAAGAUCCAAUUAAUGCAGUCAUAUUCAUUUUCUCAGAAAUUUGGUUUCUUCAGUUCUUUCAUUUAGAAGAUGUGAAGUACUAUCAAUUACACUGUCGGAAUUCUACCAUGUCAAACUUGCUGAACGCUGAUUGAUUGGAAGGGUGGUAUCCCAAAAGUUUUCUAUCUCUAAUUUAACAUGUUAACAAUUACAUAAUAAAGCAAUGUGCGGUAUAUGCAUAUUAAGACUUCAGACCAAUAAACAUUACCAGCUUUUAAACAAUGAGGGUUUUUUCACCCAUUAGGGAAGGAAACAGAAACUGGACAUGUCAUGCUAAUAAUAGGUCAUUAUGAUGUCAUUUGGAAUGUUAAUCUGAAUAAGUAUUGUUAGAAAUUAUUAACUUACAGGAAAUGUGGGAUUAUGAUAAUCAUCCUUAUAAACAGUGUCAAGAUCAUGGAAAAUUCUAUGCUCGGGUGUAUCAUACCGGCCAUCACAAAGAUCUAGACCACCUAUAAAUGCAGUUAUCUUCCGAUGGUUGCCAUGUGCUUGAGUAUCAACGAUCACACAUUUCUGAUGGUGUGUAAAAAGCGUUCCAACAACCUGAAGUUUGGUGCAACCUAAUAUAGUCAACAAGUCUUCCAAUUUUAUUUUAAAUAAAACAAUAUCUUUUCUUUCAAAAAUUCCGGUUGGGACUCACAAAAAAGACAACUAUUGAUUGCACAUUCCUUUUUUUGUUUUCAACUAUAAGGCCAUACAAAAGUAAAGGAUGGCAACCAAUCUAGUAUCAGGCUGUUGACAUUAUAAGGAUUGAGGCAAAGAAAGAGGAAUGCAUGGAUAAAAGAGAUGGUAAUAUUCUCAUAUAAUUUGAUGUGAUAUGCUGUGAUAAAAAAGACCAAGCAUUAAGCUCUACUUAUAUCAGUAGAAGAUGUUGUAUUCUUUUCUAAACUAGAGUAUCUCUCACGAGAGCUACAACAUAUUGGUUUACUGUAUUCUAAUUAAAUAUAUUGAAAAAAAAUUAUAUAAUGAAAGAUAAAAAACUAAUACUAAGACUUAAUCCAUAUCAUGAGAUAUUUUUAUAUAUUUUAACAAUAUUAAUGCGAAGAUUCACGAAGUUUAUCCUGUGCAUUGGAAUAGACCACCCCCCUCUCUCAUGUUCGAUUUUCACAUGAUCUCGUGACAUGAAAAAUUUUGUUUUUGCGUGUGAAAAUCUCAUAUGAGAGUAUCCAAUCCAUCCUGUAUGGCUGUAAAUAUAUUAAAACUAGAGUGAUAAUAUUAUGAAAGGAUGGAAAGAAUGAUAAAGUAUGCAGAACUUUGUAACAGAAACAUAAAAAGUCUAGGAAAGCUACUAAACCAUAGCAUAAAGCAUGCCUGCUGCUUGAAAAUGCUAAGCUUACUGCUGGCAUAUCGAGGCGACAACACACAUGUGACUGAAGAAUGUUUGAAAAACUUUCGAGUUUCUUCAUCAUGAGUUUGCAUUAUUCCAUUCUGCAACCAAAAUAUUCACUCGUCAGGUUCGGCAAAACUCAACAAACAGCAAAUGAAACUUGGAAGUAUGCCAAACAAAGUAAAAAUGCCCAAAGAGCCAAACAGUAUCUCUGUUCAAGCAACUUAUAUGUAUAAAACUCAUUAACAGUAAAAAAAUAAUGUAAAAUAAAGGUGGCAACAGCUGAGUGCAGACUUGUUAACAUGAAUGAAAGCAUCUGUCACCAGGUAUUUAAAUUUAGAUUGAAGAUCCAGAAUGAAGUAUAUUCCAAUUUAAAUACUGAACUUCGGUUUUAAAGAAUCAUCAAACCCUUCCUAUAAGGUACGGUUAUGGUAAUAGGAUUCAAGUAAUCAAUCACUUUUGGGCCUGUUUUGAAUGACUUAUAUGAGUUUAUCUACUGGCAUAAGCACUUGUGACUCUUUUUGAAAGAGUUUAUGUAAAUAACUUACAUCAUGUCUAUAAGUUAUUUUCGGCUAAUUUUCAUAAAUUAUUUAGGAUAGCUUAUGAAAACAGGUUUAUAUAAAAACAGCUUGACCUUAUUUAACCUUAUGUUAUAAAAAUAACUUAUACAUAACCGUUUAUAUUAUAAACUCUUAAGUGGUUUAGCCAAACAGGGCUGAUAGUGACCAUAAAAGUUUUUCCCUUUUUGGAAAAAAGGAAGUUAAUAUCAAACCACUCAAAUACAUACCAUCCUCCUUUCAAUCCUAGAAUCAUGAGCAGAAAUUCAUGAAAACCAACAUAAAAAUUAUUGAAAAAACCUAAUGAAUCUAUCAUUUUCACCUAAAUUAAAAUAAUCAGUACGAAUACAAACAAACAAAAAAACUAGAAAGUACCGUCUUAAAGAAAAAUUUGUUGUGCGAAGUUUUAUCAUCCCAAACCAACAUUAAAACUCUCAAACCUUCUUGUGAUUUGUACUUGAGUAAUUCUCCCAAAUUCAAAUUUCCACCACUAGGUAAGGGUUUGGUUGGUUCUCUAACAAGCUUCACCUUAUGGUAGAUUGACCAACCAACAAUAUAUACCAUAUGAUGCGCUUCCAAUAUCGCAUGACAAAUAUCUUCCCAACACUUCCCAUGUUGAAACUCAACGCCAUCAUCCAAUUUAAUCCCCGGCAACAUUGAAUCCGGAACAUGGGCGUCUUGAUACAGCGUCACCGCUCCUCCACGCCGAACCGGAAAAUACGAAUCCCGAACCACGAACCGAUCAGGUUCGGGCGCCAAACCGGAGCGAAACAGAGGACUAUCAUCACAUCUCGUGAAUUUCAUUUCAAGACGAACGGCGCAAUCAGGUUUUGGAGUUUUACCGCACGGACCUAUAAUCGGAAACCAAUCGCUUAUAUCUUCACCUGAUAAGAUUCUCUUAGCAGAAACGGUUGCGAUUCCGAUUAAAUCGGCACCGAACAUGUCAUUAUCUUUCACGUAGAAUUCAACUUGUGAAACAGGAUGAGCGAGAGGGAUUUUGAAAUGUUCUUCCCAUUUAGGUGAUUGCGAAUUGGAAAUAACGCGCGUGCGUGCCACCGUGGCACCGGCGAGACAAACGGUGACGUAUGGAUCGCUUGUGAUUAUCUUAUGGUGAUGAUGACGUGGCGGAUGGUUUUUACCUUUACCACCUAUAGAAGCACUGCAUGCGUUAAUAGCGGAGAAGAAUCUUCGAAAACGCUCGGAGAACAUGUCCAUGUUAGGUAGAAAACGAGCUUCAACGAUUUUUAAAUGGAGGUUACCGUGAAGGUAAAUGACGGUGGGGUCUGAUUUAUGAGUCAUUGUUGUUAUUUGUGAAUGAGAAAUUUAGAGAAGAAAUGUGAUAGGGAGCGUUGUUGUUGAAUAAUGAGGAAACGCUCACUAUCACGGGUUGCCGUUACGGAGGACUAAAGACUACAGCAUUGUUAUGAUGAUUUCUCCGGCGGAGAAAUGGAAUGGCGUUUCUGCUGUAAUCCGGUAUGAAUAAUAAUGUGAUCAAUGGAUUGCAAAAAAGGUAUUAGAGGUUAAGGUGGCGGGAGAGAAAAAGGUAGCAGGAUUAGCGUCUUGUUUUCCUUUUUUGGGUACAAAUUAGCGUCUAAUUUUGAACUUAAUUAAUUAUAAGCAUCGGUAGGUAGCGGGAAUUGGAACUGUUCUCUCAAUAUCCCUCUACAUAUUUUUUUAAAUAUAUUUUUUGUUAUUUAUGUUUUAUUUAAUAUUCUUUUAGUUCUUUAUUUUUUUAAUUUUUUUAAAUUUCUUAUAUUUUAUUUUAGUUAUUUGUUGUUUAUUUAUUAAUUGCAAUUAUUAUUUAUAUUUCACAAAAUUAUAUAAAUCUUUUUUAUUAAAGAUUAAAAUGACUUUUAUGUAAAAGAUAAAAACAAAUAAAAAUAAAUAAUUAAAAUGAAUAAAAGAUGAAUAAAUGAAAUAGAUAUUAAAUAAAAAUAAUGAAUUAAAAAUAUUAAAAUUAUAUUUUAAUCUUUUUUGAAGGUAAAUGACGGUGGGGUCUGAUUUAUGAGUCAUUGUUGUUAUUUGUGAAUGAGAAAUUUAGAGAAGAAAUGUGAUAGGGAGCGUUGUUGUUGAAUAAUGAGGAAACGCUCACUAUCACGGGUUGCCGUUACGGAGGACUAAAGACUACAGCAUUGUUAUGAUGAUUUCUCCGGCGGAGAAAUGGAAUGGCGUUUCUGCUGUAAUCCGGUAUGAAUAAUAAUGUGAUCAAUGGAUUGCAAAAAAGGUAUUAGAGGUUAAGGUGGCGGGAGAGAAAAAGGUAGCAGGAUUAGCGUCUUGUUUUCCUUUUUUGGGUACAAAUUAGCGUCUAAUUUUGAACUUAAUUAAUUAUAAGCAUCGGUAGGUAGCGGGAAUUGGAACUGUUCUCUCAAUAUCCCUCUUUAUAUUUUUUUAAAUAUAUUUUUUGUUAUUUAUGUUUUAUUUAAUAUUCUUUUAGUUCUUUAUUUUUUUAAUUUUUUUAAAUUUCUUAUAUUUUAUUUUAGUUAUUUGUUGUUUAUUUAUUAAUUGCAAUUAUUAUUUAUAUUUCACAAAAUUAUAUAAAUCUUUUUUAUUAAAGAUUAAAAUGACUUUUAUGUAAAAGAUAAAAACAAAUAAAAAUAAAUAAUUAAAAUGAAUAAAAGAUGAAUAAAUGAAAUAGAUAUUAAAUAAAAAUAAUGAAUUAAAAAUAUUAAAAUUAUAUUUUAAUCUUUUUUUAGUUAACAUAGGUUCUAAGGGAUGGGGUUACUAAUUUGAGGUUAGUUUAGAGAUCAAAUAUUCUUUUUUGGACUAGAAUUUACUCUUUUUAAUUUUAAAUAUAAGAUAAAGUAAAAUAAAAAUAAUUGAUGUAAUAUAGCUAUUUUUUUGUAUAUUUAAGAUCAUAAAAAAAUAUCCUUUUCUGAACAUAGCUUUUGUUGACUUUAUAUAUUUGAGGCACCGAUGAUAGAUCUCAAAAGUAAAAAGUCUUCCUUAAAUAUAUACGUGAAUACUUAUUAAAAAUAUUUAAAAAAUUAUUCUUUUUUCACAAAUUUUUAAUUUAUUAAUACUUUAAAGUACUUUUCGUAAAAAAACAUUAAAAUACUUGUUAUUAUUUUAGAUUAUUUUUACUUUAACUUGAUAUUUGUUAUCUUUUAACAUAGACUUAUAUCAAUAUUUUAAUACUACGUUUGUGUCUAUUAUAGUUUCAUUUUUUAAUUGUUUUGAAAUAGAUAGAAUGGGCAUUGGCAGAGUUUGACUUUUGAGUUAUAAUUUAAUACUAUAAUUUUGAUAUAAUAGUUUUGAGAUGCAAACAAUUUGAUUUUACUAUUGAUAAAUAUACUGAUCAAGAUCUUGGAAUGAGAUCUGGCGCUGGCAGCUCUGCAGCAGCCAGUCCCAGUCUGCGAGCCUGCUGGCAGCAGCAUGUUGUGGUAGGUUCCAGCCAGAGAACGAUAUAAAUGCAACGUGGACACAUCCUCCUCUCAUUGUUCGAAUUGAGUUGGUAUUAGUAUUUGUAUUUGAGAUGCGGAAGGUGCUUUUGUGAUAUCAAAAACAGUUUGGUUUCCUCACUUGGUCUCGGUUGACAUAAGAUAAGCGACAUGACUUCUCCUUGUUUUGGAUUGGGCGCAUGAACUUCAGCUAGCUCUUGUAGAUUUCGAGUUUGAUUCAAAAGGUAUUGUUGAUUUUUUCCAUAGUUCAAAGAGAUAUGUCACAGAAUUUGGUGGCAUUGUAAUUGAAGACUGUUCAGCAUCACUUUAUUUGUUAGAAACUUUGUGUUAAAUACAUUAAGAGACAAACUAUUGACAUAUUUUACUUAUCACCUUGUAAGAACGAUUUCAUCUCUUGUUAAUUUCCACAUCUUCCGUAAAUAUUUUUAUUUGUAUCCAAUAUAUUAUCAUAAAUAAUAUGCUUUAAGCAACUUUCAAUAAAAAAAAAGAUAUUGGCAUGAGAUUUUAUCAUUAACAAUAAUAGCAAGCAUGUUGCUAACUAAUGAAGUUUGGAUUUAUUUUCUUCCAAAUUUUAAAUAAUAACUACGAUUUAAUUAUGUAUGACAACUAAAUAGAUGGAAACGAAUUUUGACUAUCAGUUCCACUUAAAAAACUUACUCAUAUUCCAAACUCUAUCUAAUUUAAAUAUUAAAUAUUAAAUCUUCAUUUUCAUCUUCAAUUCAAUCGAUUUUUUCACUUUAUAGUUGCCCUCAUUCCAUAUAUUUAAAAUAAUAAAAUUUAAAACUAUAUAUAUUUAUUAUAAUAAAUAUAAUUAUUAAAAUAUUAAUUAAAAUUUCAAUUGAGAAUUAAUUUAAAUUAUAAUAUUUAAAAAUAUUAAAUAAAAAUGAAUGAAUAUAAACAUAUAUAACAUUAAAAAAAUAAUAUAAAAAUAUCAAUGAACCGAUGUGUACCAACACUCCCUCCGUGUCCCCAACUUAGAAUUUCAUACAAAAUCCACGCAUGAUCAAAUUGUCAUCUCUGAUCAUAAUACAACUCCAACCCUGAAUAUAAAAUCAAUAAUUAAAAUACUUAAUAAAAAUAAAAUUGUUAAUGAUUGAUAUUAUUUUUUUAAGUUUGUUCUUCGUAAGAGAGAAAUAGUUUAUCUUUCCAAUCCACAGUCUUUUAUAUUUAUUGUGUUAAAAAAUAGAUAAAAUAAUUGAAGACAUUUUGAUAAAAUAAAUUAUUAAUCUAAAAAUUUAAAGAGAAACCUAUAAAAAAAAUGAAAAAGUAAAUCUCAAGAGAGGUCCAUAUAAAUUUAUCAAAAAGAAAAUAUCAACUAGUAAUAAUUAAUACUAUAUAGUAUUCCAUGCAUUUCAUUAACAUAUAAGUAAUUACAUACAUACACGGCUUGCACAUCUGAUAACUGCCUCCAAAUUGUUUAGACAGCAAAAUAUGAAUGACAGCAAAAAUCAAAAUUUACUCGUGUGUCGUUGGAUCUAAAAGCCAAUACAAAUUACAAGUAAACAUGAUGCUACUAGUACGUAAUAGAAAAGGUUAUCAAAUAUUUACUUCUUGGAAUAUGCUUAUUCAACAUCUUUCUUCCUCAGGACAAAGCACCUACAUAGAGAAAGAAGGGCUCCACUUUGAGCAAUAUUCAGUAUUCACUAUCUUUUAGAUUAGGGGUCCAAUCAAGUAUGUUCAUCUAACUCAAAAUGGGAGGAACCACUCUAAGCAUCAUACUCUGAAUAAAAGAUACCAUCUGCAAUCAAAACUCGAUCAUAUAAAUAGCCAUAUGGAAACACAUGAAAAUAAAGCAAAUGGAACCAAAACAUGCUUCAAUGUUAUAAGACUAUGCAGAGUAAAACCAACAGCUUUUUGAUACAGUGCCAACUAGCUUGUAUUAAAAAAAGCACACCAACGAGUUAGAUCCAUGAUUGUAUUGUAUAAACAAGUAUAAACAGAGAGAGCAUUGAGGUUUAUAUUGCAAUUUAUCUAUUAACACGAUACUAAGGUCUAGUUGUGGAUUUUGUUGGAAGAUUACAAAAAUCCAACAUCAUAAUAUUUGAAGUAUUUGACAUGGAUAUGUGUGGCUGAGGUGGAUACCGUUUUGAAGUGUCCAUGUCAAUAUACUAUAAAGUUACUUUCAAGUUGAGUUCCUGUAUUCUGUGAGCGUAUUACCACAGUUAAGCACCAUCAGAUUCCGGCUAUUACAAUCGAUGUAUACCAAGGUAAUUCAUUUAGAUCACAAGAGAGAACUAUACAAAUAUGGAGAAAAAAAUCAACAACAUAUUGAAAAAAAAUAAACAGAUAGAGAGAAUGGAGAACUUCGAUUAAAGUUCUUACCGAAGCAAUUCCAAUACACAUUAUACUGAAGCCAGGAAAGUCAAAAGGUGCUUUUUCAGAUAGAAAGAGAGCUGAAAAUUGAGAAUAAGUGCUUGUUAAUAAUUUUAAGUGGAAGUAUGAAUCUAAUAGGACAUAAUGGCUUUUCACUCACCCGUUAAUGGAGAGAAAACCAAGGGAGAAACAAUUUGUGCAAUUGAACAUAUGCCUGAGAUGCAACCCUGAGCUCUUCCCUGAAAGUAGCAGACAAGUGAGAAAAAUAAUUUAACUGAAUAGAUUCUAAGCAGUCUAACAAGAAUAAAAAAAAAGAGAUUAAAAAGCAUUCACUCGUGCAAAACUAAGCUAUUUUGCAUCCAUUUGAAGUUGACUAAAUUUUAAUCGAUGUUUUCCUCUUAGUGUGUUUUCCGGUGCCAUUUGAAUUUGAUAUGCAUGCCAAAAAUAAUAUCAGUUGAAAAAAAGAAGAAAGAAAUCACAUGCAUUGUUUAACUCAAACAGGCCUACAUUAACAUUUCACUAUUGUCAUAAUACCGACAAAUGAAGACAACAGAUACAUCACGCAAACUACAUUCUCACAUGCCAAAUCAAUCAACAUUAUAACAACUCAUAGAGACCAACUUGUACAAUAUUAUUUAUGUAACUUUGACUUUUAUAUCUCAAACAGAACAAAAUCAAACUAAUUUAAGCCAUUUAAAUUUGACACUAUCAAUACAAACAAACAAACACAAAAUAAAUCCAAUUUAGUUGGAACCACUUCUGAAGAAUUUUAAUCUCAAUAUUUCAUUUACCAAGUUUCAUGCCAAUCAGCCAAGUUCAAGCUAGUAUACUUUCAAAAGAAACUGAUUGAUGAUGAAAUUGCAGUCAUUCCUCUUGAAUAAUCAAUGGGCUAUUUUUUUUAAAAUUGUAAGGUACUCUUUAAAUAUCAUUCACCGCAUUGCAUAACUUUUAACAAUUUCUCUAUUUAAAUUGACACCUUGCACCUGGACAAGAAAACUCAAGUUUCAUACUAUUUCAGCAGGUACUACAAAAAAAUUGCACAAGAAUGUUAAUGCACAAGUUCGGAUCCCACAUUAAAAGCUACAUGUGUUAUAAGCUAAAGCAGCAUUUAAUAAAACCUUUCUCGUACCUCAUAAAACAUUGAUGUGUAUUCAGUCCAUGAAAAAAGAACUGCCCCAAAGCAUAAGACAUUUAUGACUUCAAAUAUUCACUAACCCCGAAAAUAAAUAAGUCAAUCAAAACAAAAUCUUACUAAUAAUAUUAAUUAUCACCCAAUGAUUAGCUAAAAUGACUUGCAACUUCUUUUGAGGUGUUAUUACUAUGAAUUUCCAAUUGCUUAUUUUAACACCUACUGUUUAUUAAUUAUAUAGAUUAUAAUCAACAUAACUAACAUUUAUAAGUCUGCAGAUUAAGUAAAAUUUCAGAUUUGUAACUAGAAUCCAUCCCUUCAUAUUGUGAAACCUUACAACAGCAAUAGUAACGUUUUCUUGCUAGGUGCAAUCGGCUAUAUAGAUCAUUACACUUCCAAAUUUGUAAAUCAUGUUUAUACAUAUACUGUUUAAAUUUAAAUCCCCUUGAAUGAUUUGACCAAUAGUUUCUCUUAAUCUCAUUUGAACUCUAUAUUACAGUAUGCACUAAUAUCCACCAUUCAAUCUACUCUUGGGCCUUUUACAUGUCUUCUCCAUGUAUGCACAAAUAUUCUAAGACAAGAUUAUAAUACCUUUUUCCAAAAUAGACAUUAUCCUAACUUUCUCUUAAUGAAUUUUUUUGCAAGUCUAUAUUUGCUUAGUAUCUUCUCCAAAAUAAUGCUUGAAUUAACCUACCUCUACAACAUCCAAAAUAUUACCACUUUACCGGUGUCCAGUACUAUUAACAUGAUAUGCCUUGAUGUUUAUUGUAAGGGCUUUCUUUUAUUAUAUGAAAUAUCUUUUCGUGCCAAAAUUGAAAAUAAAAAUGAUACCUGCUCAUGGGGAUCAACUUGUUUAGACACAAUACUUCGUAUCUACAAAAUGAAAAAGUAAAUUACUCAAUUAUGUUCUGAACAAAUAACUCAUUGUUGGUCAAAGGGGAAAAUCUAUUUAAAGGAUAAUAAAAAAGAGGAAACAAACUCACACAUGGCUGAGAAAAAACAAACAAAAUUGAGAACAUUGCAGCAGCAUAAGGGACCUGUCAGCAUGUACACCUUAGCAGUUAAUACAACAAAAAAAGAGAAGACACAAGUGAAAAGGGAUACUAGAAACAUACAUAGGCAAAAAUAAUCAAAUAAAGUAUGCAAGUUUCACUUAUAAUUUACUACAUACUAAACAAUACUUAACAGAGAUAAACUUGUAACUAGCAAUAGAGUAGCAAAAGACAUACCCAGGAGGACCAUGCUAUGCUGUAAAGGAACAUCUGCAUUCAAUUUAAUAUUACUAAAUUAGAACUUUAAGUGCGUAUUUUCAAAUAAUUUCACAAAAGGCAAAACGCUUACAUGUACACAGUGAAAAAAUAGUCCAAUCGAAAGAAGCCUUGCCUCACCCAAAGUAGGGGCAAAAAUAGGCAUGAGAAGAAGCUGUGAUCAUCAAUGUUCAAUAUUUAUAUUUACCAUAAAAUCAAAGAAACUAAAUAUUUGUACAGGACAAAGGCAAACUAAAUACAGUUGGCACUUGACAACUAAAAUAAAGCCUUGCAAAAAUUACCUGUGACACAGUCCCUGCAAUACCAGAAAUGACCAUUAAGUCAGCAAAAUGAUUCUUAUCAAAAUGAAACCGAGCCUUUAAGUAAUACUGCGCAAAAAGAAUAAAGGGUUAUUGCAGACUAAAUUUGACUUGAUAGUUCUAAUCAUGUAAAAACAGUUUUAUCAUGAACUUGUAAAAGAGUAAAUAUAAUAACACAUUUCAUAAGGACAUGGAUCCUCCACAACGAAAAAGGUAAGAGACAUAAGAAAUUGAACAAUGGUAAAUUGUUAGUUAAAGAUAUUGAGAAGUUUAUAGCACAAUAUGGCUAUAAACAGACAAGAGAGAUCUAAUGGUUGAAGAUACAUAAAUACAAUAAGCUUGGAUAUUGGAUACAUUGGGUUGAACAGGGAAGUUGGGUUAUUAUCGUGAAUUAAUGAUAACAACCCAAAUAAUAUGAAUAAGCAUCACUUUAUGCUCCAACAACAACAUUGAACCAUAACCAUUUACCAACACUAAAGCUCAAAAAUCAAAAGAAAUCGAGGUAAUAAAAUAUAUGAUAACAAAACUAUAUGAUAAAACUCGAACAUGUUACAAAACUUUAAAGAAUAAGAAGGGAGAAAAUCAGAAAAUACCAUCAUUGAACCAUGAAGGCCAACAUCUGCAAGGUUGCUGAAGAAUGCAACAAUUGCUGCUUGGGUUAUAGUCAAGCUGCAAAUUGAAGUACACAUGUACAGUUAUCAUGACAUACAUAAACUAAAAUAUUUAUUCAUAAAGAUGUGAUAAUUGUUCUACAAACAUCAAAUCGGCAAUACUUAAUAUUCAACUUGCAUACAUUUAUCUUCAUGAUAGUCAAUGUAUAGAAGAGGUUUGAUUCCAAGCAUAUCACAUGUAAUUUGGAAAAACUAGUUAGUAAUUACACAAUUUUUUGUUGCAUAGUUACACGAAUCUCAUUUCAUAGUAACAAUGUACAGGCCUCUAAUAUGGUCUUGGUCAAUGGUGAACCUCAUCAAAUCAACUUGCUACCACAGGUUUUAUCUGUGUUUCUAUCAAUUUGCAACAAUGUUAAGCUUUCUAAAUACCAACAAAAAAUUGGAUUAACUUGUUAUGCCAAGGUAACCUCAAGGGUCCACCUUUAAACCUUUUUUAAAGAGUAAGUUUGAACGGAGUAUUUUGGAGGGAAGGAUUUAUUUUUCUUUUCUUAAUUAAGAAAGCUAUGUUUCUAAAAUUAAAUUGUGAUUAAAAUAAUAUCCGAUCAUCUAUAAUGUUUUUACACCAAAAUAUAUAUUAAACCCUCCAAAACCCUCAAUAGUUGUCCUAUAAGUACAGUUCAAUUGAUAGCUGUAACGACAUGUAACGACAUUGAUAUGUAAGAGUCUGGACUCGACCUCAGGAUUCCUUCCACAUUAAGGUGCGUGAGUCUAGUUUCUAGAGUAGAGAGUUUGGCCACACAAAAAAACUCAAUAGCUAAAAUGAAGUUAUGGUAAAUUCUAUUGUUUGUUUAAAUACUUAUUCCAAUCUAUAAUGCAUUAGUGCAAAACAUGCAAAUAAAAUUUAUUCCAAAAAAAAAAAGGAGAAGGCUGAGAAGUUUACGAACAAAAAUUGCCACACCUACUAUUAAGGAAUGAAGUUAGAUCCUGCAAAGAACGCAACGCAUUCAACAAUUGCAUAUUGCUUUUCGAUUUUGCAAUGAUUUUAGAAGUUGAAGGCUCUCCCUCUGAAAUGAUUGGUGUACAGAGGCGAUGAUUUCCAUCGAUGACUGAAUCCCGAAGGAAAAUUUGCAUGUACACUGCUCCGAUCACCGCAACAAAAGUGGAAACCUUAUUAUUGAAAGAGAAAAACACAAUUGAUUAAAAAGAAAUUAAUUCGGAAUUAGUGGUAAUUAGAUAGAGAAAGAAGCAUUAAUUAAAGAAAAUCACCUGAAAAGUUUGAGCAGUGGAUAGAAAACGAGCUGCUAGGGUCCCACAGACGAAUGCAGAAGAUCCUAUUCCUGAAAGAAUUCCAAACGCAGAGCUUCGUCUACCUUCUGGAACGUUAUCUGCCUAAGUAUAUAUAUUAAAAAAAAAAAAGUGAUUGAAAUGAGAAAUAGUAUUAUAGUAUAGUAUAGUAUAGUAUAUAAAUAGAAUUUCUGACUAGUAUUUAUAUUUGAAGAAAUAGAAAAUUGUGACUUACGACGUAAGCUAGAGCGAGGCAAGGAACGCAACCAUCGCAAAUCAUGUUAAUGAGUAUCUUAAAUACGUAGUAGAUGUAGAAGAAUGUUUUCGUCCUGCUGUAAGCUAAUAUGCCUGUAUCAAAUCAUUUCAUAGUUAGGGUGCAUUACAAUUAUUCUUUUUAGGUUGUUUCUAUAUAAAAAUAUCACAUUCAAUUAAAAGUACCUAAGGGGAUAAUCAUGAGGCUCAUAGGGACCGUGAGAAUGGCCUUCCUCCCAUACUUAUCUGAGAGAUUACCCAAGAGUGGCAUCAUCACAAGUGUUCCCACUCCUAUUAUCUGCACAAAUCACAUAUUUAUUCACCCAUACUUCAAAUUAUGAUGCAUGUAGUUAAAAUUUUAAUUUAAUUAUAUCAACUUUUUAAUUUUAGUUAUAUUUCAUUUUUAAAUAAAGAUUUCAUUUAUAUACAUCAUUACAGAGUCAAUCAAUUAUGAUCAAUAAAUUAAUUAAAAUAAUUUAUUUUUAAUAUAAUUACUUUUAAAAUUUUACACAUUAUUAAUUAUAAUAUGAACAUAAAAAAUGAAUAAUGUGCACGUGAAUACAUGUUAAACUUUUGGCAUUGCAACCAUUUUUUUAUGCAAUUUUGACUUUUGACUAAAACACUUACUAUUUUUGUGUAACGUAAUCAGAAGACCAAACAAAACAUACUAAUAUUUUAUUUUAUAGAUAAAUAUUAGUAUUUAGUUUGUAACAGAUUGAAUCAUGAUUAUAUAUCCCCAUGUUAAAAUUAAAACUGAUACUAUUAUUUUAAAUUAUUAAUUAAAGUAUCAACAAGAUAAAAAAAUAUACUACUACAUUUCUUCUUUUUUUGUCUAAUUAUUUCUUCUCCACAUAUGAUUUUUUUGUUGUCAAAAUACUCCAUAGAUAUAUAGUUGGAAUUUUUGUAAAGUGAAUCGAGUAGUCAUUUUAUAUUUGCUUCAGCUUAGUAACAUUUGUGCUUAAUAGAAUUAUAUAUCUAUUUAUAAUUGUGAAUUUCUUCUCUCAUCCCAUGUUUUUUUCAAAACUCACCAAUUUUUAUUUGUAUUGGUUAAUUUAAAAAUUUAUUUUAUUUAAAUUGACCGAUCUAUAUUAUUCGAGUGCAUGGGAAAGUAGAAGAAGAAAACACAUUUACAUUUUGAUAUUUCCAUGGGCCCGAUACAAGUCGGACACUACCUACGCUUGAUCCAAUAAGUAGCUCAGUUUUAACAGUCCAUUUUGACCGGAAACUAGCAACAGAAAGCAGAACAAAAUUGCCUCGUAGACCCCACAAAUUAUAUUCUAAACCCUCCCCUAAAAAACUCCAAGAAUUACCCAAUUUUCUUUAUUAUUAGAGAUGAAAAUAUAAUCUGCAUCUGCGGAUAUCCACCUAAAUCUAUUUGAUUUAGGUGGGAAAAAUCUAUUUUGAUAGGGUGGACGGGUUUGGGGUGAUGAUAUUCACCCCGCACUUGCACCCGAACUCGUCCCGCAACUAAUAUUAUAGUAACUUUUUUUAAUUUUCUAUACAUAUACAUACUAAAUAUACUUAAUAUUUUUUAAAAUAUUAAAAAUUAUAAUUUUAUCUCUAUAGAAAAUAAUUUUUUAUUUUAUUAUUAUCUAAUAAUAAUUAUUUUAUUAUAUUAAUUAUAACAGAUAUAAUUUUUAAAUUUAUAAUUUUAUAUAUAUAAAUGGAUGCGGGUAUGGGCGGAGAAACUCAAACCUCAUUGCGGACGGGGAUGGAGGAUUAAAUUCCACACCUGCUAUGAAACGAAUGCGGGUGCGGCUUUUCUUCGAUUAGUCGGGUGCAGAGGUGGAGGAGACAAAAUAUGUCCCCAACCCGCUCUGUUGUCGUGCCUAUUUAAAGAUAUAUUCGAUUAUUUAUUUAAAAAUUUCAAAAUAAAUAAACUUUUAAGUAUGUUAACAUUUUUAAAUAAGUAAUCAAAUAUAUCUUUAAAUAGUUUAACGAGAUAAUAUGUCAAUGAAAUUAAGUUAUGUUUUGAUAUUUAACAUGACAUUUAAAAAAAAAUAUUAUUUUAUAUACAUCCUACUUCUAUUAUAUUUUAUAAUAAUACUUUUAUAUACGUCAAAAACUAAAUUACUAAAAGUUGAAUAUCUAACAAAUAAAUAAAAAUUUAAUAUAAUAAUUAUAAUAAAAAAAUAUUAUUUAUAUUUAUUUAAAUAGAUCGAUCUAUAUUUAAAAAACUUAUUAUAUGAGAUAUAAUCAAACUUUUUAAUUAGACUUUGUCCGAAAUUUUAGUGUAUGUGUGUUUAAAAGAAAAUUUUAGUUUCACAUAAAUCUAAUUUCGAAUUUAAAUUUAAAACAUAUUAUCCAUUUUAACAUCAAUUGAACUAACCGAAAGUAUUUAUUGGAUUGAUAGAAUGGAAUUUUUUACCGUAAGUAUUAAAACACUAGAUAAAAGCUCCUAUAUUAUUAUUGCUAAGAAAGAAGUUUCCGUUUGUGUACUCUUUUGUCUCUUGUAUGUGAAAUAUUUUUAGCCCACUAUUGUCUGCUAUUGACAAAGGACAUAGAAGAGUUGUCCAUCCAAAUAAAACCACAUGAGAACACAUAAGAAGACAAUAAAAUCAAUAAAGAUAGAAAAACCACGAACACUCGAGGAAAAAGCAAAGCUAUAAAUCACACACAAACGUCCAAGUAGUGGGCCAACAUAAGUCAGUUUUAAGUUAAUGAAAAUGAGAGCCAAAUUAAUUGAUUUGAUGAGAGCCAAAUUAAGACUACGAAACUAGAAGGAAAGUUCUUUGGUUGUGUAGGGACAAAUUUACCUAAACAGGCAAAAGGACGUGAUAACUCAUAAAGUUUGCUUUUUAUUUUCCUCAAUCAAUUAAUGGGGUUAUUUUUGUAGGACCAAACCUAUAAAAUAAUCAUUGCUAAUUAAUUUCACUAAUUUGGUACCACAAAGGAGCGGGAAUUAAACCAUUCUUUGAUUAUAUUUUUUCAAAAACACAAUUUAAGUAAUUUUAAAAAUCAUAGUAUUUGAUAUAUACUAAUACCAAUCAUUAGCAACUAACACUAAAUGUAUGUUUUUGACAUAAUUUGUUUUGAUAAUAAUCAUAUCAUUUAUUUUCUUAUGAAAAGUUAGUUAAUUUGAAAAUUAUGGUUUUCUUUCCAAAUUGUCACUGAGGUUUGAUUUUAUAUAAAAUUACAAUUUUAUAUUCUAAUUUUAUUACGAUAAAGAAAAAUUAGGAAAAUUUUGAUAUUUUAUAUUAUAAUUUUUACCGAUAAUAAUCAAAUUUUAAUAUUUUCUUUCAAAAACAUCACAGGCUUAAUUUUGUACGAAAUCAUAAUUUUAUAUCUUUGCUUUAUUAAUUAUGAAAAGGAAAAAUGAAAAUUAACGCUCCAUUAGAAAAACAUUUCUUAUUAUAUAUUUGUUGUACAAUGUAUAUCUGAAUUUUUUUAAUACUUUCAUCAAUAAUUGAAUUGAAUAAAAACUCAAUUUCACUAACAAUCUCUAUAUGAAUUCAAUUGUAAACAAAACUCCAUAUAAAGAGACCCUUAGUUGCAUCUUUACAUAUGAAUAAUGAAUAAAGGUGAAAUUACUUACGGUCAAAAUAAAUAAAUAAAACUACAAUAUCAAACAUCGCCACUCAUGAUCAUUUAUCUAUUCUACGACAACUUAAUUAAGAUGACAUGAAAUGCAGUUACUUAAAAGUAAUUGUGUAUCACCUUCCCUUUGUUAAAACUUCAUAAAAAAGAUUAUUUGUUAGUUGUUCCUAACUUUGUUUUUUAUUUUAAUAGAUAAAAAUAUAUAUUGUAAAUAAACAAGUUCAGAUUCUCAAAAAUAAUAAAGGAAAGGGAACAUAGUUCAUCAUAUAAAAUGAUUAAAGUAUCUAAGAAAUGACACAACACAUGCAAUUUAGUGAAGUAUAUAACAAGAAACACAAAAUCAUAUAUAAAGCAUAAAAUGAAUGAGUGAAGAGAAUAUUAUUUGUAUAAUUGAUAUAUUGAUGAAAGUAAUAAUUACCGCUUGUUGAAAACCAGUGAGGUAGAUGGCAAUUGAGCAUUCAUCUUGUCCAGGACAAAGUGCAGCCAUUGUGACAUCGGUGAUAGCUGGAUGCACCAUGAAUGUGGAGAAGUUAUGGAGAAACACAGUCAUGAAGAGAUGGCUCAAACCAUACAAAUUCAAUUUCUCCAUAAUUAUAUUCUUUGUGUGUGUCUUGCAUGGAAAGCCACCACCCUCAAUAUAUAUAUAACUCCAUCGAUACAAUAUUCACUUUCUUUUUAAUUAUAUUCACUUAUAAGCGCCAUAUUUUAAUUUUUAUUUAUUUAUAUUAUACAUUAAUAAUGUAAUUAGUAUAUGUGUACGGGGCCUCCAGCCAAAUCAUAAGUGUAGUGUACUCAUGCGAUUGCUUUACGUGAUAUCUCGCCACUGCGCAUGUUAAUUUAUUUAUUUUUAUUUAUUUAUCGUCUUAAUCCGUGCUAUUUAAGUGAAUUUUAAUUUGAGUCUUUCAAUUUUAUUAAUUUCAUUCACACCAUUUGAGAUUUCUUUGGUUUUAUUCUUUAAAAAUAAAAUAUGUAAAAUAUUAAGAUUAAGCAUGUAAGAGAAUAAUUUUUAUAUUGAUUAAAUGAGAAAAAUAAUUACAAUAAUAAAUAAAGUUUAUAUAUUUAAAUUUGAAUAAUUAAUUUCUAAGUAGAGUAACUAAUUUAUAAUUAAAACAUAACUAAAGUAACUAAUUUAUACUUCACUUGAGCAUCUCACCAUCACUCUGUUUAGACGAAAAAUUAAAAUCAAAGAAUUUCAAAUGAUGAGAAUGAAACCUAAAGAAAAAAAAAUAAAGGACUCAAAUAAAAAUGUGCUAAAAAAUGAUCAGGACUAAAACCAUAAAUAACUCAAAGUGUGUGUCAAUCUUAGGAUAAACUCGCACAAACUAAGUAUUGACACAAUGGAAGCAUAGUUUAAAUAUUGUUCAAAUAUAGUUGAAUUCGUCAGACUAACUUAUUUUACCUGAUAUUUUAAGUGGAGUUACUGAAGAUUUGAACAUGUUUACCUAAGUUGGUAUGUCCAGUUUAACCCACUAAAAUAAUAGGUCGAGCACGAGGGCGGAUUAGCUCGUUUAGUUGCAACACAUAACCUAUUUUUUUAUUAAUUCAAUCAACCUUAAAUUAUCCCAUCGAUUUAUCCAAUUCAAUUAAAAAUCUCAACUCAAAUUAAAAGCUACGAAUAAAGAUAUGAGUUUUACAUAUAAGGACAAAAAGAAUUGAACUAUAUAGCCUUAAUGAGUGCGUUAAUACAUUAUGAAGGUGAGAAUAUAUAUUUUCAUAUUGUUAAAGGAGAGCUAGAUUCUAUAGUAUAAACUAUAAUACAUUUCUUUAAUUUUAUACUUUUUUAUUUAUAAUUAAUAUUCAGUAACAAUAAGUAGAAUAUAAUAAAUAAAAAAUUGGAUUGUUUAAUAUUAAUGAAUUUAUUUUGAGACUUUUUAUAGUAGGUAUUGAUGACUUUUUUGAAAUUUAGCUUUGCUAAUUAAUUGUGGUUAUAUUUAAUAUUUUAAUUUUUAAUUUUUAAAUUAACCCACAAAUCCAACACAGUACCGAGUAAUAUUUUCAACUCGACCACCUUAAUUAGUUUACUUUAUCUCGCUUUUUAACAGACUAAUUACAGACUAAAUAGCAUUUUUCAGUUUACUUUACCGUUUUAUGUGAAACAACUUCGUCAUCUUUAACUUAAAAUCAGUAAUGAUUUAAUAAAAAAAUAAAAAGCAGUCGUGGUAAAGAUUUUUAGCCACAGAGCUGAACCACACAAUUUUUUGUUAAGUGUAUUAUGCGUAGCUUCUAAGCUAAGAUAAUGCAGAUAGCUUUAUUAAAACAAAACAAAACAAAAUAGAUAAUACAAACUGCCACUUACGUCUUGAAGCGUACAAGUCUUCAACUUCAAUUGGUAAUACGACAAUGUCCAAUUGGCCCAAGGCCCAAGCUCAAUGUCUGCAGAGAACUUUUGAGACCUAAGCUUAAAAAAUAAAAUAAAAUGGAGACUCAAUGCGGCAUAAUUUCGUUCAUAUAAUAGUUCUGUUCCUUUUAAUAUUUAAAUAUAUAAAUUAAAUUAAAUAUUUUAAAAUUCAUUAAAAGUAUUUUUGUAAUGCAAAAGACUAGCACGCAUUAAUACAUUUACACUAUAAAUAAAUAUCUUACAAAAUAACAUAUAUUAUUUGUAGUAUGAUAUUAGAUCACUUAACAUUUAAUCAUUUCAUAUUUAUAUUGACACUUAUCUAAUAAAUUAAUUAUUUAUUGUGAUACUAAUUUCUUAAAAAAUAUUUAUUUUCAAAUACAACAAAUAAAAAUAGCACUUUUCAAACAUAUUCUACAUUCUUUUCAAAUAUACUCAUAAUUUAAAUUGAAUACUUUCUAUUUCGAAAGAAAAACAUUGAAUAUUUUCUAACAACAAUGUUGUUAAUUUGCAUUCAAACAAAUAAAUGAAGUGGAUUUUUUUUUGCUCUGCGACUAAAUACACCCAAAAAUAAUCAUUAAUCACAUGCACCAAAUGUUGUUAUGUUUUUUCUUAUACUUGCAGUUGCAGGAGGUGUUGAUGAUCACCCUUCAAUUCUAUAGUAAUUUUAUUUUGCAUUAUUUUUAUUUAUUUUUACAUUAAUAUGUAAUUCUAUUAUAAAAUUUUGAUCAAUUUCUAUUACACUUUCAUAUUUUUAAAUUAAAUCAGAGUUGUAAGUAAUAGAAAUUUGAAAUUAUCUUGAAAAAUAUAUCAAUACAUAAUAACAAUAGACACUAAUGAUCAACAUUAUUGUGGUAAUGUCUUUCACAAUAGAUUGUUUAUUUUUAAAAUUUUACAAAUUAUGAAACUUAUAUAAAAAGAAAUUAUGAUAGUAUUUAACAUAUUAUUUUUUGCUUCUGUCAAAAACACAUUUUUUUCAUUAACUAUUUUUGAUUCAAUGUCUCUCCUUUAAACUUCAAUUUAAUAAUCAACAUCUCAAGUUUUUCUAAUACAUGGAUAUCCAUGAUAAUACUAAAAGACACAGUAUGAAACGUCACCCAAAAAAAUUCAAACUACAUUGAGUAUGUGAUGUCUACUCAAUAGUUAUCUACACCAAUCCAAAAACAUAUUAACAUAUAUUUUCGGCAUUAUCUUUAUUUUAUUUUAGCUUUACCUACUUAAAUUGUUAGCAUGAUUUGUAUAUAUUCAUACAUUUUAUUUUAUUCAUAUCUUGCCUUAAUUUUUAUUAUGUCACACUUUGUGAUUCAAUACAUAUAUUUUCUAAUUGUUUAGCAUUAAUGAUCAUUAAUAUAUAUAUAUAUAUAUAUAUAUAUUCUCUCUAAUUCUUCUAAUUAUAUAUAAGGAUGAGAAUAAGCUAUGUCGUCCGUCAGAGGCAUAUGAUCUGGCCUACUUAUGACCUAACCUGACCUAACAUAUUUAAUGAUCAGGCUUAGGCUUAUAAAAAAGUCUAUUAUGCCUCACAGAUCGACUUAUAUAUUUUUUAUUAUUUAUUAAUGUUAUUUUUUAUUAUUAUAAUAAUAAUAUUAUUUUCUAUUUUAAAUUCUAUCAAUUAGGCAAUCACUCAGUAGUCAUUUCAUAUUCGGUAGUCGUUCCAUAUUUGUUAGUCGUUCCAUAUUCGGUAGUCAUUCAAUUAGUCAAUCACUCAGUAGUCUUUCCAUAUUUGUUUGAGAGGUAAUAAUGAGUGUGUUUGCUUCAGAAAAAAAAAAUCUAUUAUUUAAAAACAAAAAUUAUGUUUUAGGGUUUAAAGGAUGUUUGUUUUAGAUUUUUUUAAAAUUAUUUUGUUAGAAAACUUAUUUUUGGUUUAAUAUAUAUAGAUAUGUACAUUGAUAUUGGUAUGUGGAGAGCAUCACGUGAUAUGAGUAGAGCAUUUAAAUAUUUUAAUAUGAAUAAGACUUUUAAAUAUGCUUUCAGGCCAGACAAAAAUAAAAACCUAUGAUAGGCCGUAGGUCAGGGUCAGACUUAAAAAAUUAUACGUAGGCCAGACUCAGAUUUUUUAAAGUCUGAUCUGGUCUCACCUAUUCUCACCUCUAAUUGUGUGCGUAUCACACACACUUUGCAACCAGUUAAAUGUUUCUUUUUUAUGUCAAUCUUCAUUAUUAUGAUAAUUAAUUGUUAUAAAAAUAUAAAUAUUGUAAAUUAGUUAUUCAAUUAACAAUUUAUUAUUUGUCCAAAAAAAAAAACAUUUGAUUUAAAUUAAUUCGUUAUCAAAAUAGACAUCUAAAAUAUAUCUCAUGUAAAGGUCAUCUAAAUAUUAUUGUUGCAUUAUGGAGCCUAUUCAUUUUAUUUUUGUCUUAAAAGAGAUAUCAAUAUGAUCAUAAUUAAUUAACAUGACUCUCAGAUUCUGGUUUAAAUUCAAAACAUGAAGUCAAACCUAACAAUGUCGACAUAUAUCACUUGAAUUAUGACUUAAACACAUUAUUCAAGACUACUAAGUGAUAUUAGAUUUUAGUAUAAAAAGUAUAAAUGCAACCUAAAAAAUAGUGUCAAGUGUUGUGAACAAAUUAAACUUAAACUAAAAGCAAAAAAAUUACUAGUUUAAAUUUAUAAUCUAUGCAUACACUAUAAACAAAAUCCGUGCAUCAAAUAAAUAGUACAUGUAACAUCAUUAUUUGUAAUAGAUGAUUAAUUAUGUUUUAAUUAUUUGAAAAUAUCUCAACAACCAAAAAACCACUUAGCUUAAUUUUAUUGUCAAUGGCAUUUUCUAUUGAAUUAUUAUAAUAUGCAUUUUAAAAUUAAAACACAACAUAUAAAAAAUAAAAACUCAACCACAACACUAAUAUUUUAUCAAAUACUAUACUGAUAUUGAUUGUAUGUUCAAAUUUUGAAUUAAGAAUUUAAAUUAGUGUAUAAAUAUAUUGUUUUCUUUGCAUUUAUUACUAUAGAAUAUGGUAUUUACGAUCUUCAAAAUAUCAUUUAAUCACCAUAGAAUUAAUAGAGUAUACGUGACACUUACAAACGUCAUUAAAACUUUAAUGAUAUAAUCGGCUAUUACUACAAAAUGCACUUAUAAUUGAUAUUUAUUAAAAUGACAUAUUCCAACUAAGACAAAAAUAAAUAAUAAUGUGACAUAUUUCAAACAUAUUAUUACUAUAGUAUAUAAAAUUAAACACAAUAUUGUAACAAAUAUUAUUCUAAUUUGACAGAUGUAAUUGUCAAAUUAAACACAAUCCUGAAAUGGAAAUUUAUAUUAUUUGACAAUUUAAUUUUAAAUUUUAAAUUUCUUAAAUAUCAAUUAUGGCUUUCCAAAACGAUUGUUUUUGGGUACACACGCAUCAUAAUAAUAUUUAUGGUUAUCUAAAACAAUUUUUUUAGUAAAAAAAUCGACAUUUUUUUAAGAAAUCUAAAACAUAUAACUAUUACACUAAUUAUUAUUAUUAUUAUUAUUUUUCAUUUCAAUGCACUCUUAAUAAUUUAUUUAUAAAACACGCUCUAAUUGACAUAUAUUAAUAGCAACAUAUUCCUUGCUUAUAUAAAUAAGAAUAACUUAUAAACGGAAAUAAUAUGUCAAACGUAAUACUGAGAAUUUAAAAUAGAAAUAUUUAUAAAUGGUUUCAAUCAGAUUUGUUUCCUAAUCAAGGUUUCAAUCAGAUUUGUUUCCUAAUCAAAACUAUUAGCGAAAGCACGUAAAUCAGUGGGCAAUCCGUUUUAUGCUCGUUUUAUUUUAUUUUGUAUUCUUCUUUAAUAUGGGCUUGCUUUGUUUCAUGUUCACUCAUUCCACUAUAUUUUAUUGAUUAUUUUCUUGUGAAUAACAAUUUUAACAAUAAUUUUAUUUUUUAUUUUUAGGUAUACGACGGAUGUAAAAAUAUUAUAUGUGAUAUUGAAGAUCAAAAUGGAGAACAUAAGCUUUUGAAAAUUACUUUGUAGCUAAAUAUAAAAAAUGAAAUAUGAUAUAUUUAUUCGAUGUUAUCAUUUUCAAUAAAAAAAAAAAUGAAACAUAAUAUAUUUAUAUGUACAAAAAUAUAAUUUACUUUUACUAUAUUGAUGCAAAUCCAAACUUUUUUUAAGCAGUCAAAUAUAUUGAAUGAUUAUUUAGACUAUAAAAGUGAACCAAAUAAAAACAACAUACAAAGAUUAAGAGUAUAAAAAUGAACCAAAUAAAAGCAACACAAAAGAGUUUAAGGUCUCAAAUACUGAGCCUUCGUUGAAUGGAUACGGAUACAAUAUCAGUACAAGCAUGGGAUACAUGAUUUAUAAAAAACACUUAAAUACAUGUAUGUUAAAGAUAUACGAGAAAAUAUUUAUGUUUGUACAAGAAAUGUAUUUCAUAAUUAUCAGAUUUCAUAAGUAUAAUAUCUAAUAAUAAUAUACAAAGAAUGUCUUUCAUUGUUUACUACUUCAUAAAUAAAAAUAGAAUUAAAUUAUAUAUAUAUAUAUAUAUAUAACCUAUAAAAUUAAGAUAGAAAGAUGGUAUUUACAUAAUAAAAAUUGGGACAAUUCCUUAAAAAAUGUAGUUGGAAAAUUUAUAAUCUUUAUAUACAUAAAUAUAAGCAAAAAAAAAAUUAAAAUGUAUUUGUUCAAAUACAUCUUGCAUUUAUUAAAAUUUGACUUUCGGAUUUAAAAUAUAGUAAAAAAUAGAAGAAAAAGAUAAACGGUAUAAUACAAAAAGUACUCUUGUGAAGUACCUUGAACGUAAUACUUUAAAUAAUAAGUCUUAAUUACAAUUUUAGUUUUCUUAUUUUUACUCAUUCACGAAAUUGGUCCAACUAUUUUAAAAGUCAAUAAUUUUUAUCUCUGUUAUUUAUUUUUUAGCUAAAAAAUAAUGACAUGUGAUAUUUUUAAAUAACGUGACAUAUGAUACAAUAAUGUAAAAUGAUUAAUACCCAUGAAAUUAAAAUAAUUAAAACGCAAAAAAAAAAUAUAGUUUUCAACUUCAUAAAUUUUUCAUAUUUUUAAUUUAAUUAAUGAUAUAGAAAUAAUUAAUGCAAUUAAACCACAUAAUAAUUAUAUAGUACAAUUAAUAUUUGUGUACUACAAAUCAUUUUUUUGGUUUUAUAUACAUAGUACUUUCCUUUCAAUUUUAUUAAAUUUAUGUUACCAUUUUUUACCCACUAAAAGUUUAUUAGCAUAGACUUUCAAUUUUGCUUGUCACUAUAAUGACUCAAAAAAUCUACAUUUUCCACAAAUAUAAUGAAAUAUUGCAGGUGAAACUUUUAAAAGUAUUAUGAGUUUAAUGUUUUUUUAACAAGCUAUUCAUGAAUGCAAUUUUUUUUUUUGAAAAAAUCUUAUGUUGCUAUUUUGAUUUAAUGGUUUGUAUAAUUGAUUUCUAUUUUAAAAUCUAUUUAUCUUUUAAUUGUUCCGUUCUUAUAUGUCAAUCUUUUAGAUAGUUAACUAAUAUUAUAUAUUUGGUUUAAUUGGAAUGUGCAUCAAUUACAAUUAAUUAUUUUAAUUGCCAACUAAUACUUAAUUUUAUAUGCAAUAUCUAUAUACUCUGGGAUUAAAUUUAGUCUCAAUUUUUUUUUUUUACUAUUUUGCUUUUAGACUUAAAGAAAAAAGUUGUCAACUUUUAGUUCUUAAAAUUUUGUUUUCAUUUUCUGUCCUUGAUUUUAUGUCAACUAUUGUAUAUUUUUUUGAAUUUUUUAUUAAUGUUUAAGGCAUUAUUAAAAAAUUUCCUACACAAAUUUAGAAUUUUUUUAAUAAACGAAAAAACUAAAUAUGAAUUGUUAAGUACGAAAAGCUUAAAAAUUCUUAUUUAAAUCAUCAUUUGUGGAGAAAUUUUAAAUUUUGUGCAAGCAAGUUGUUAAACAUGUAUUAAAUAUUAGUACAAACUAUCAUUCUAAAAUUAAAAGGAUACACAAUAGUUGGUUUAAAAUUAGAAACCUAAAAUGAAAAUAAAAAUUUUAAAGGCACUAAAAUUAGAUGAUUUUUUUUGCAAAGACUAAAAACAAAAUAGUGAUAUUUUAUAGAGACUAAAAACUUAUUUUACUUUAUAUUUUAUAAAAGAAAAUUAUAGAAAAGAGCAUUAAAUAAAUAAACUAUUUAACAUCUAUUUGAUUGUGACAUUUCUAUGAUAAAUAAAAUAGUAAAAUUUUAAAGGGGUUAUGUGGUGUUUUUCUAUUUGGUAGAACAACUAUCUAAUAUUUUGGUGGUGUUUAUAAUUUGCUAAAAUUUUUUGGGUUUAAAUCUCUCAAUUUUAUAGGGUAUAUAUGUCAUAUAAAUUUUAUAAAAUUUUAAUACUAUUUGAUACUUAGUUUAAUUCAUCAUAUACUAUACUUUCUAAAAUACAAGUAAAACAUUAACUAUAAAAUUUUAUAGUUACACAUAUUCAUUUUUUGUAAUUUUUGGUAUGCAUAGUUGUUAAGAUAAUAUAAAAUAUUAAACAAAUAGAUUCAUAAAAUUUAAUGUCUAUAAAUAGUUAGUAGUGGAGUAACUCAAAAGAACUUACUUCUGAAGUCAACAUAUAUUCACUCAAUUUGUAAAUGUAAUACAUUUUUAAGUUAUUGAAUUUAAUAUAUUUAUGUCAUUGAUGCACAUGACACUUAAGACACAAGUUAUCGAACGUACUUUGCAUCAUUUGUAACUAAUGUAUCUCGAAUGAUUUUUCCACCUGUGAUAUUUGUAUCUAUUUAGACCAUGUCAAUUUCAAUUUUUAUCAUUAGUGUGGGAGGUGAGUCAUUUAUAUGAUAAUCAAUUUUAAUUACUUCAAAAGUGGACUUGACAGUAACAUCUCCAUAUAAACUAAAUUUGCAGAAAAGAAAAUCCGUAGCUUCCCUUUAGUGCGGUUUGGUAGUUGCAAUUUUGUCUCAAAUUUCAUAUGGAACAAACCAUAUAUUACUUUGCCAAUUGCAAGCAUCAUUACCAACACAAAUAAAGACCGAAAAAUUCUUUCGCACAAUGACACCAUCAAAACAUGACUGAAAUAAUAUCUUUACCUUAAAUCCAAAUAUCCUUCUAAAAAUAUAAUAUCAUGACCAUUUAUAACCAAUAAUCACUCAACAAAUAUUACAAUUUAGACCAUCUGAUACAUUGACAAUCGUCUUCCAAAGCACAGAAGAAACAAAAUCAUGCAACACAUAACUAGGGUUUGUUAUUGUAUUUUAGUUAGUGUAGUUAAUUUCAACAUUUGUUUAAAGGUGGCCCAUUAACUUACUAGACAUGCUGUUGUUAAGCCCACCAAACUCUGGUCCAAUAAUCCUUGUUCAAUGAUUAUUGGAUUUUAAUGUUAUUUGGUUGAUUGGAAAUAUAUUUUUCCUCAAAAAGAAAAUAGUAUCUUUUUCAUCUAGAAGACGACCUUCACUUUAAUUAGCUUUUUUGCCAAAUAAAAACUUGAAUUAACUUUAACGUGUUAAACCUUUCCCUCACUCACUCACUCACUGACUCACUUGGAGUUGUCCCGAUAUUUUCUGUAAAUAAACAAAUGAUAGCGAAGCAUGAUUCACGCGCGAAGCACGUGGACGGAACCAACAAAGCAAAGAUGCUGUUCACUGUUAUUAUAACACUAAUUAAAUAAAAUAAAAAUAAAAAAUAAAAAAAAGAGGAACAGGUUUCGUACAGAGUUUCAGUUAAAAGUAGUAGCAAUUAGUAGUACAAAAGUGUAACCCAAACCCAAACCCCAAAGUAGGGUGAGAACACAACAAAACUCUAUCUUCCAAAAUAUGGAUUCUCUUUCUCUUUUCUUCACCGCAGCUCUCUUCGCCGGAGGCCUUUACUGGUUCAUCUGUAUCCUUGGUCCCGCCGAACAGAAAGGCAAAAGUUUCACAGAUCUCUCCGGUGGUUCCAUUUCCGCCGAAAAAGUCCAAGACAACUACAAACAAUACUGGUCCUUCUUCCGCCGCCCUAAAGAGAUCGAAACCGCCGAUAAAGUUCCAGACUUCGUCGACACUUUUUACAAUUUGGUUACAGAUAUCUACGAGUGGGGUUGGGGUCAAUCCUUUCAUUUUUCACCUUCAAUCCCUGGUAAAUCACACCGUGAUGCCACGCGCCUCCACGAAGAAAUGGCCGUCGAUCUAAUCGAGGCUAAAUCUGGUGAUAAAAUCUUAGACGUUGGAUGUGGUGUUGGUGGGCCCAUGAGAGCUAUCGCUUCACACUCACGCGCUAACGUCGUUGGUAUUACAAUAAACGAGUAUCAGGUGAAACGAGCCAGGCUACAUAACAAAAAAGCUGGACUCGAUUCUCUAUGCGACGUCGUUUGUGGUAAUUUUCUUCAGAUGCCGUUUCCUAAUAACACCUUCGACGGCGCGUACUCAAUCGAAGCUACGUGUCACGCGCCUAAUCUCGAAGAAGUUUACGCCGAGAUUUUUAGGGUUUUGAAACCCGGCGCACUUUACGUUUCUUACGAGUGGGUCACGACUGAGAAAUUCAAAGCCGAUAACGAUGAACAUGUUGAGAUUAUUCAAGGGAUUGAAAGAGGUGAUGCUUUGCCUGGGCUUAGAAGCUAUAGUGAUAUAGCUGAAGCGGCUAAAAAAGUUGGGUUUGAGGUUGUUAAAGAAAGGGAUCUGGCUAAGCCGCCGUCUGAGCCGUGGUGGAGCCGAUUGAAAAUGGGUAGGAUUGCGUAUUGGCGUAACCACGUUGUUGUAACGGUUUUGUCUGCUUUGGGAAUAGCACCUAAGGGUACUGUUGAUGUUCAUGAGAUGCUCUUUAAGACUGCUGAUUUUUUGACUAGAGGGGGUGAUUCUGGAAUUUUCUCUCCUAUGCAUAUGAUCCUUUGCAGAAAACCUGAUGAAGAUGAUAAAUGAUUAACCCUAAGUUAUCAAGGUCAGCUACUAUCGUUUAAUUAAUUAAAAUAAAAUUUCUCUUUCAAGUGCUUCUUUUCCAUGUUUUUAUUUAUUUAUAAUUUUUAUUUAAUUUUGGAUUUAACUUAUUGUUUUCUUUGAACCGGAUGUAAUUUGCUUUUUGAUAUUUGCAAUGUAGUUUUCUUUUUAUAUUUUUUUAUUUUCAUUUGCCUCAACAAUUGCCGUAUGGACUUUAUUUAUGUCAGUUAGUACUAGUAAUUUGGUUUUGAAGUUCUUACUAUUAGUAGUAGUGUGUUUCAUUUAUUUAAUGGAAUUUAUUUAGGUUGAAGUUGUUGUUAUGAUGAUUUGGUUGGCAUUUAUUAGUUUAAUUAAUUUGAUGUUGAUAUGCAAAUCUUAUGGAUCGGAGGAAUCUUUUGUUUGUCCUACGAUUUGUGGCGGUGGGUUAUUAAUGAUAUUUAAUUUGAUUGGGUUAAUAUGCUUUCGCUGAAUUGGUUUUUGGGGGAAGAGGAUUUAUAUACAAAGGUUGAAUGCAAAUGCUAAUAAUACGUUUCUUAACAACACAUUUCAAGAUUCAACGAAAAAACAUCGAGUCAAAUGUAUACAUUUUUUUAUGAUGAAGGAGGAGUAUUAUUAAUCUUUUAGAAAGUUAUCAAAUUGAUUUUUCAAACACAACUUUUAUUUUUAAGCUACAAAUUCUAACAAGGUCCGUUAAAUUAGGAGGUCACAAGAUUAAAUAUAAUUUUUUUUAACACACUAACUAAAUAUUAAUUAUUUAUUUUAUUAUUUUAAUUAUUUAAAAAAGUAAAAUUUCUAUUUUGUUUUUUCGGGAGUGUAACUAAAACUCGUGACCAUGGAAGACUUGCUUCUUAAACCAAUAUCCAUUGCAGUAGUCUUAUCUUAAUUUGAUAUCCAAUAAGUUAUAAAUAAGUGUUGUAUUCAUACGAGAAUCACUUUAGUAUCUAAAAUACAUUAUACAUUCGUUAAGAGUACACUUAAUAUGAUAAAUGUAUCUAAAAUGUAUUUUAUUUACUCAUAAAUGAGUAUUUUAUAAAAGCUGUUAUUUGAUUUAUUAAAAGUGAUUGUUAGCAAGUGAUAGAUUUAAUAUGAUAAAAAUAGAAAUAGAAAAAGAAUGGUGGGAUUAUUGGGGAAACAGCACAUGUUAAGAUUGGUUCUAUUAGCGUGGGAUUAGGUGGCGAGCACUAGUGCCUGGCAUUUGUGGUACCGUAACGUGAUUAUACCUAAGCUUUUUAGAAUCUGGAUCUAGACUUGAGGCAUGCUGUGUUUCAUUUUUGGUUUAUCUUUUGUCAUGUUGUGCGUGGGUCUUUUUACUUCCAGCUCAGGAGACCGAGUUGCCACACAUGCUACAACAUUUGUCCUUCAAUUGCGUUGGAUCUCUCACUCUUUUUUACUCCACUCUUUUUCCCGUGACAUUAUAACGCCUAUAUUUUGUUUCAUAAUAACAAACUCCAACACUAAUGUCGUAGCUUAUAUAUUAUAUUUCUUUAGAAACUAUUAAUGAUAAUUGUUUCACAUUGUAAUUUUAAGAGGUAAAUUUUGAAUCUUGUUUUAAAUAAUUGUAAAAUAAUGAUUAAUAUAGUUAUUAAUAAUAAUCUCACCUUCGUUUUUAAAUUUUUUUUUUUGACAUGUUGGAUGUGAGUUCAAACUCUAACUACUCAUCUUUUCACGUUUAAUGUGUGAGUUUGUUUAGUUCCACGUUUUCCUAACAAAUCUCGCAUCCCAAUGUUGUAUAGAUGUGAAAUUUAAGCUUUGAAACAAUUUGUUAGAGGCUUUUGGACGUGGGUCCAAACAAGGGUAAAAAAACUCUAAAACUAAAAAGCCUAAGCAAGUUACUUCACUUUUUAAUGUCGUAUAAGUGUUAUUAUUAUUUAAACAAACUUUUACUUCGUCACUUUUUAGGCCUGAUUAUUAGGCCUAAGUAAUUAAUUCGUUGACAUAAAAAAAACUACAUAUUUUUGUAAAUAACCUUUGCCAAUGGCCCCAUUCACUUUCCACGUCACCUUGUAGUUAAUUCUACACUUUAUUUUGUUGAGAUGGCUCAUCCAUUUUUUUUAUGUCUAUAUCUAAAUAGAGUGUUCAAAUUUGUAUGACCAUAUUGAGAAAUUUCCUGUUGGGAUUAUGAGGGAGGAGCUCUGUAUUGGGCACAAUCCUUUCAUUUGUAUGACCAUAUUGAGAAAUUUCCUGUUGGAUUGAAAUGAGUUAUAUUUGUUACUCGAUCUUAAAAUAUGAACCUGAUUGAUCCCAAGUGGCCUAAAGUUUUACGUGAUCAUUGAUCAACACUUAAAUUUGUGUCUCUCUAUCUAGAAUGUUCAUUUUUUAGCGAACACCAAAAGCAAAUUUAUCAAUGAAUACACCAUAUUUUUUAUCUCCAAAUAUUUAUGGAGACAUUAUUAAUUAUUUUUAAUUCUUAAAAUAAACUAUCCAAUAAUAAUAAUAAUAAAGGUGAGAUAAAAACAUCCAAUGCAUCAGAUGUUUUUAAUUUGUCGUGGAAUGAUAAUAAAUUGAGGUCCAUUAAAAGCAGGCUGCCUAUUUGAGUCAUAGAGUAUGUGUGGACCAGUGCGCCCAAUAUAAUUUGAAACAGAGUUUAUAAUUUGUUGAUUUAAAAUUUAGUAUGUGUGGAAUGGAUGAAGAUUUCAGUCCGUCUAUAUAAGUUGGUCUGUUCAGUUUAACUAUAUGGGGUGGGACAAGAUUGGUUUUCGGGCCGAGAUAACUAUUUUUUUUUUUAUUUUUUUAUAUAUAUAUUUAGUUUUUGAUUCUUUUUUACUAAUUUAGUUAAACUUAUGAGUUUUAUUUAAAAAAAUCACACUAUAUAAUAUUAAUUAGUGUGUUAAUAUAUUAUGAAAUUAAUAACAUAUGAUCUCAUGUUUAAAAUGCACAGUUAUAAACUCUAUAAUGAAAUAUAAUACAUUUCUUAAAUUUUAAAAUUUUCUAUUUAUUAAUAUAUUGUAUUAGUAAGUAGAUUAUAAUAAAUCUCUUAUAGGACUGUUUGAUAUUUAUAAAUUUAUUUUCAAGAUGUUUUUUAUGGUAGUAAUGAUUUUCUUUGGAACUUAACUCUCUUGUUUGAUCAUGGUCACAUUUAUUUCUAUAAGAUGUUAAAAUAAAAUUAAAAAAAUAUUGACAGACCGACCCGCAAGUUUGCUACAUAAUGGAGCGAGGUUGUUUAGUAUUUUUAACUCGACCAUCGAAGUAUCUUCAUCCUACUUUUUAGUAAGUUAAUGAUGCGACGAGUUAAACGAGAUGAAUAAACCAUCUUUACUAUUUCUAUUCAUAGAAUAUACAAUAAUAUUUUAAGAUAUUUUUAACUCAUUUACUUUAUUUAUUUAUAUGAUCAAUUUUGUGUUUACAUUCAAGCAUGCAACUUAAAUUUUUGAUAUACAAUUUGGCACCUUCGUCUUUUUCAAGUUCCGCCACAACACGGAAUCAUUGUGCAAGUACAUUACAAAACCAACCAUACCACAUUCAUAAGUAAAAGAAGCAUCAAUAUUAUACGUGACCAAACCCAACAAAGGUUGAUCCAUCAUGAUCAAAGGCCUAGAACCACUGCACAAGAACAACCCAAUCCCAAUCAAAUCGGGAAUAUCAGAAGAAAAAAAAUACAGACGGAUGCUCUUCCAACCCUACUAAAUACCACAAGCCGAUAAUAAUAAAAAUAAGACUGAUGAAUUUACUGAAAACCUCAGUUCGAUAGUAUUUUUUACAUAUUUUAUACUUUAUAAAAUCCAAUGAAGGUUUGGUCCAUUAAGAGAUACAACUAAUUAAUUGCAGGCGAGCUAUAUAGUGACAAUGAAAUUUAUUUAUCUUGGAAAACUUUGCUACUUCUACAAUCUCUAUAUUAUACAUUUUUACUAAACAAUAUUAAUCUUGACAUAUCUCACAUAUCAAAUAAUUUUAUAUCAACUUAAAAACUUAUAAUCAACUUUAAAAUAUCGAUAAUUACACAUGUUUUUGCAGUUAAAUAUCUGAAUAGUCCUCUACACAAAAUGUUUUCAAAAAAUAAAAAAUAUACACAAAAAUUCUAAUAAACUAAAUUUAAUCAAAUAAAUAUAAAAAAAAUAAAAUAAAAAUCAAAAGAACAAGUCUUCAUUUUAAUAACCAAAUUAAGAACUAGUUUGGUCUAAUCUAAUGUACUUUAUCCAAUUGAAGGGGCCUUGGUGGAGCCAUAGUCCUUCUCUUCCAUAGAUUAAUUUCUUUUCGUGGCUUCAAAUUAUCAAGUACACCAACCCCACCACCACCAAGCAAAAUAGGUGCAGAGAAAGGUAUCAUGAACUCCUCUUCUUCAUCAUCAUCAUCAUCAUCACCGUUCAUUCUGUCUUCAUCCGAAUAAUAAUCCUCUAUUUCCUCUGCCACUACUUGAGCCUUCCAAUCAAAAUUAGCAAAAGUGCCACGUCCACUUGCAAACCGUUUCAUUUGACUCAAAUGCGUUGCUCUUUCCUCAAGUGCAUACUUGUUAUCCUGAGCCGCAGUUGCAUCUGAUUUCCUUCUCCUCCCCUCAGAUUUUGGCUUCCCCACAUGUAACAACAUCUUUUGAAAAGUGGUUACGUGUUUCUUCACUUCUACGAUGUCUUUAACUUUUUUGAUUUGUUUCUUUUUGUGCUUGAUUUGUCCCAUACACGAUAUUUUUGGUGAAGUGGGUUCUUCAUUUUCAAUUCCAUUAAUACCCUUGGGCUUUAUGGAUACAAUUGGGCCUGAAAAUCCCUUAUGAGGCCUAGCCCAAUUUUUUGCGUUAUCUUGUUUUGAUUUGUGAUUCUUACCUGGGCUGAAUGGAUUAUUUUGAAAUGUUAAAUUGAUACUUGGUAAUAUCUUCAAGAUCUUGCUCCUUAGCUUAAAGUUUUUCUCCAUGAUCACACUAAAAGAUUGAUAAGUAGAUCGAAUUAGAAAGCUAGAAAAAGGGUUGGAAUUUGAGAUUUUUGUAUGUUUUGUUAAGAUGGACUCUCUUUAUAUAUGUUGGAUUUGUUGACGAAGCUUUGAGAUUGAAACCAGUUAUUUGUAACAAAUAUUAAAUAAUGAUACCGGAGUUUGUAUAAUAAUAUUAUAUAUAUUUGGAUAUAUCUGAUUGUGUCAAGAAAGGUGGGCAUAUAUGUGGAGAGUGUUUGGUCAAAUAAGAAAUGUGGGACUCGGCAAUAAUUAAUUAUUAUAUAGCUUGUUUCGACCCAUAAACAUAAUUAAGUUACUACAAUAAUGUACUUGGCACGUAACUCGGUUAAUAAAUUAAAGACUAACAAAGAAGGUGAUUCUGAGUUUUACGAUAAUAUUUGCUUAUUAAAAAAAUAAGUUUUUACGAUAAUUUUGGAAACUUACUACAGUACUUUUUGUGAGUGGAAUUAUGAAAUUAAAUGAGACUUAUUUAGGAAUUGUAGCUCAAAAUGUAUCAUUUUAAUUUAAGGCAUGCACAACAUAACUACAAGUCUUUACCUCAGUUGUGAAACAGCCUGCGCCACUUAAUUUGUUUGAUAAAGAAAAAUCACGUUGUAGUUGAUUUAUAUAUAUAUAUAUAUAUAUAUAUAUAUAAUUUAUAAUAAGGAAAGAAAAAAAAAACAGAGUUAGUUGUUAAAAUGAACCAGGUUGUCUUUUUCUUUAACAUUUUAUUUUCUGAUAUAUGUAUAGAAAUUGUGAAAACAACAUGGCCUUAUAUUUUAUCAAUUUCAAUAUUUUUCCAUAGUAAUAAAUAAUUUGAAAUACUUAAAUGUUUUUAAAUGAAACAAGCAAGAAAUUUGUACUAUCGUACGAGUAACCCAUCAUUGAUAUUUUCUGUGUGUCCCAUUCAGAUUUUAAACAAAAAUUUGUACUUUUUAAGCAAUACUUUUUUUUCGUAGUGAUAAACAAUUUGAAAUAAUUUAAAUUUUUAAGCAAUACCUAAAUGUUUUUAAAUGAAAUAAUAUUUUUUUAAAAUAACAAAUUUAUUUCAAUUUCCGGAAUAAAUUACCAUGGUGCACUCGUGCACUUGAUUUCGUCUACUCCUGACUUUUUUGUGAAGUUUUGAUUCCAUUAUAAAGUGUGGAAUGUUAUUUUUUAAAUGAAUUUUUUUUUUUAAAUUUUAAUUUUUCUGAUUUAUAGGAGACUUAGCAAUUUAAAAUUCUAUCGAGAUGUAACUAAUAUUUUACUAAGAUUUCCUCUAGACAAAAUUUUAACUUCGAAUUCUUUACAGUUGAUCUUUAACUAAAACUUAAUACUCAUUUGACCUCAAUCCCUCUAUUAUUUAAAAUGAAUUAAGAAAGAGGGAGACAAUGUGUAUGUAAUAAAAUAAGUCACCUAACCGGGAUUUUAAAAUAAAUGUUUGAAGUCAUAUUUUAAACUACCGGUUGUUGUUGACCAUUGAACGCGUUUGAAAUUUAAAAUAGUAAAUAUUUUUUCAUUCCCAUAGAUUCAAAUAUCUAAAUCACACGGUUAGAGAACUGGCUCGAACAAAAAAAAUGUAAUUAAGAAUGUAAAGUCAUUUUGAGAUGUGUCGAAAUUAAAACGAGUGCUACCUAAUUUCCAUGUAGGAGCCAGACAAUUAUUGCGUAAGCAUAUCGUGACUCGUGUGUAUUCGAUGAUACGGUUGCACGUGUAUAUACUUGUAAAUCAACGAGUCGUAAAAGGGGGGACUUUGGUCAUUCUUAUCUACAUGUGUGAAUUUAGUCAAAAAAACUAUUAUUCAUGUGAAUAAUGGAAUUCCACGUUGUUAUCCUAUGUUUACCCUGUAAAUGAAAAAUAUUUUUUUUGUGCAGUGUGAAUGAAUAAUGAGAUAUUGAGAAAUUGAAAAAGGCAACAAGGAUAUAAACUAUCCAAAUGCUUGUAUUAACUUCUCGCCCAGUAGCUUCCCAUGUAAAAUUACGGUUGUUUACUUCCUGAAAAUGUUUUUUGUUUUUGUUUUUGGUUUUAUGUGGAACAAUAGAUUUCUUCUCAUUGUCAUCAAUCUACAAUAUGCUCAUUUUCCAUUUUUGUUCUGGACUGGACAAACGCCCCAAUCUUCUAAGGACUUCAGAUUCCGAGUUGGGACCAACCCUGGGAAAGCAUAUGAACUUGCGGAGUAACCUAACAGAAUACCAACAAACAUGAGGGAACAAAGGCAAGCGACACGAAAUUGUGUCCUCUGAACCGUUACACUCUGACCCUCAACGGUCAUUUCCCCAGAUCCUUCCACCCACUUGCAUAUAUAGAUCCUAUCUAAGAAGGACAGGUACAUGCACUUUUCAUAUAUUCUCAUAUACAUGUCAACUCUUCGCUAUCAGAGUGUUUCAAAUCCAACCCCACCCGAGAUACUCACAAAAAGGUGUCACUCCAACUCUCAAUCUAGUCUCCAGCUUGGUCUAAAUCGAAUCAACUUCAAUCAUCAUAUUCAGGUUGUGAAUUACACUGGCAAUUUCAGAAAUGGCAAAAAAGACUUAGUAUUUUCAAAUUUUUUGAAAAAAAACUGAUUUCGAAAGUUCACAACCAGAACAGUUGGACAAAACACAUUUUAUUGUCAUUAUUUUUUGUAGAAAUGAAAACUGCACAUGGAAAAAGUAGAAGGGGCUUUAGUUUUGCACCAUUAAUUCUUUUUAGGACUAAUAACAUGGUUCCCUCUUCCCUAGUCUAGUCAAAACCUCAUGGCUGCAUUAACCCAAAAUCUGCUCCAAUGCUACAGUUGCCCAUUUCAAACCAAAUUAUCAAUUUGUAAAAAAAAGUCUAAAUUAUCAGAAUAACAAAAAUUGCAGAAUGUAAACUAAAGUACUACUAAAAAGGACAACGAACCUAACCUUCAUUUAAUCCAAACCAAUAUAUAUAUAUACAAUCAACAAACAUUUUCUUGGCAAACCAGGUAUGAUUUUUAAAUAUGAACCAGAUCCACGGCUAACUAGAGCCUUACAUGCAGAUAACACAUUACACAUCUCAGCUUGCUUAGCUUAAAGGGACUUUUGCAGUUAAUGCAGUUUGCUACCACAGAACCAAAAAUGAGUUUAGCAAUUGCGUAAAAACAAACCAGGCAGAACUAAACAGACUGGUUCACAUCUCAGUCUCUGGAAUAUGCAACUUGUUAGCAUCUCCAUGAACAAUAUGCCAGCAGGAACAUACUGUUAUCAUUCCCUUCAGUCAAACCAUCCAAGGUUUCUAAAGCAAAAAUUAAGCAGUUCACAAAAAUAAAUAGUGCCAGUAAUAGGGACAAUGAUUGAGGAAACAAAAGAUCAACCUCAAAAAGUCUCUCUCGGCUAUGAAUGCCAAAACAAGUGGCCAAUUGAAUACCCUGCCCAGCAACAAAAAACAACACUUAUCAAUUACAGUCUCAAACCAUCCUUCAAGAACACUAACUAAUUUUUUUGCCAUAAAUAAAUAAAUCAUGGUCAUCAAGCUAAUUAAUUUAAAAAAUACUCCAUCAAAAACAAUACAACCAGUUAAACCAACAUUUUGUCUCACUUAUAGUAAUUAGCAACACGGCCAUUCUAUAGUCAUACUUGGAAGUUCUUUGAUUCAGCUCAAUGAUGUCAAGGACGAAGCAACUUCUACAAAGGUCGAGAGACAAAUCCCCUAGCAACCAUCUUCUCGACCAACUCUUCAUGCUUUUUUAGCUGUCCAGCCUUCCUCAGCUGCUCUAAAACCAUUUCAUAAAUCGACAGAUUUGGCUUUAGACAUUUUUCUUCAACCAUCUCCUUCAUUAACUUGUAUGCAUUAUUCCAGUGCCCCUUUUCACAAAACAUCAAAAUCAAAAUUCGGUAAGUAUUCACAUUUGGUUCAACUUGACUCUCAUCCAUUUCCUUUUUCAACUUCAGAACCAUAUCAAUAGAUUUUGAGUCAACAAACAUUCUCAUCAGUAUAUUAUACGUCAACGUAUUAGGCCUGCACUUAAGUUCCUUCAUUUUAGCAUACAUCCGAUGUGCGCCAUUCACAUCAUGCAACUCGGCUAUGCAUCCAAAAAUUGAAUUGAAAGUGCUUGCAUUAGGAUCAACCCCUUUUUUAACCAUUGUAUCUAAAACCUUCACAGCUUCAUCAAGAUUCUCAUCUUUACAAUGACUCUCAAUGAUAAAAUUAUAGCUAAUUGUAUCAGCAGCACAACCGAGUCUCUUCAUUUGAUUGUAAACCUGCAAAACCUUUUCGGUCCUUCCAGCUUUCACAUGAACCCUCAUAAGACUAUUAAAAGUAACAGCAUUAGGAUCACAACCAGCAUCAAUCAUCUCAGAGAAAACAUCAUGAGCACGAGUGAUCUGUCCGGACCUACAAAGCGAAUCAAUCACAAUGCUAUAAGUAUAAACAUUAGGCUUAAUUCCAGCCACUUUCAUAUCACUAAAAACCUCCUCAGCCUUCGAUAUAUUACCAGCACGACACCAACCAUGAACUAAGCUAGUGUAAACUAUAACAUCAGGUUCAAACCUAUGCUUAAGACUAUCAAAAAAUAAUUGAGCUUCACUCGCUCUUCUUUUCUUACAUAAACUACUAAUCACAAUUGAGAAUGCAACCUUAUCAGGCGUGCAACCGUACUCUUCCAUACGAUUAAAAGCGUGCACCGCCUCCGCAGCCAAUCCAGCCCUCACGUAACGCCGGACGAGAACAGCGAACGUGCCGACUGUAAUUUUGACGCCGCGUGAUUUCAUCAAAUCGAUUAAGUUCCAUGCUAAUUCGAAGUGUCUGAGUUUUCCGGCCAGGUCAAUCAUCUCAUUAUAGGGCUCAGGGGAAGAAGGGAAUCCUUCGAGCGUGGUGGCAUAGUUGAAGAAGGCUAGGGUUUGGAGAAAUGGAUUACCGUGGCGGACACCGCCGCAUUUCUCGAUGACGCGGCGGGCGAUGGAGGGAGAAAUUGAAUGAACGGUGGAGAUUUUAGUAAAAUCGAUUGAAAGAUCGGGUAUGGAGAGAUUGAGUGAAGGUGGAAGGGGGUUAGGGUUAGGGUUAGGGUUUUUGCUGUAGUGGUCUUUAAUUGCGGUGUGAAACUUGUCGACUAUUUGAGACUCUUCGGGAGAUAGAUUGGUGGUGUUUUGAGGAGUUUCGUUUGUAUCAUUAGGUUCUGAAAGGAGAGAUGAANNNNNNNNNNNNNNNNNNNNNNNNNNNNNNNNNNNNNNNNNNNNNNNNNNNNNNNNNNNNNNNNNNNNNNNNNNNNNNNNNNNNNNNNNNNNNNNNNNNNNNNNNNNNNNNNNNNNNNNNNNNNNNNNNNNNNNNNNNNNNNNNNNNNNNNNNNNNNNNNNNNNNNNNNNNNNNNNNNNNNNNNNNNNNNNNNNNNNNNNNNNNNNNNNNNNNNNNNNNNNNNNNNNNNNNNNNAGAGUGUGGUAAUAGUGGGGAAAGAGAGUGUUGCAAGUGGAAGUGUAGCCUUGAUUUGAUGAAUGACAUUGUUAGUUAAUGUUUGAUAAGACACUGAACCCGGUUCAAUUGAGAGGGAUAACAAGAACACCAGCUCUGAUGCUAACUUGCCGUUCGGGAACUACCGUCACUUUUUAAAGUGAAGAAGAAAUUAGUUAUUGGCGGCGCGCCCUGAACUGUAAAAGACCUUUGUUUUUUGUUUCCGGUUAAGAGCCAAGACUCAAGCAUGGUGAGAAGACAAGAUGAUGAAUAUGGACCAGGGCCUGUAGAAUUAGCGAAUUGGGCUUCUAAAAUAAUGGACCAAAUUCACUUAUGCUGUGUUGAUGUAUAAAAUAAAUAAAAUUUUAUCCUAUGUUUGAUGUAUAACAGAGAAAAUUUUAUCCCAUAUCCCACACUUAUAUUCCUAUCCUAGAUUUUAUACAAGCUAUUCUCUCUUUUUUUUUACCCUUCUAAAUCCAAUUUGGAUUUCCGAAAACUUUUCAAAACAAAUUUAAGAAUUUAUGUAUUUUAAAAAUUUGAACUUUAUAUAUUAAUUUUUUAUUUUAAAAAGUUUCAGUAUUAUUAGAAUGUAUCACCACACAGUGUUAUUAGAAUGUGAAUUUAGUUUUUGAGAUUGGGAAUAAUUUCUGAAUUAUUCAAUUAGUUUAGUAUUUAUAUGGUUGAUUUAGUUCUUCAAGUAUUCAAUAGAAUGGGCUGCUGGCUGCUGCAUCUAUAAUAUUGUGGCUUUGUCAUAGAGAAUUCUAGAAUUUGUAGUUGAAAUUGAAAUGUCUGUAUUCUGUAAGCAUAGGCUAGGUUCAUGGAAAGUUGAAUUCCUACAUAGAAUUUGUGGUAAAUUUCUGAAGACUCUAGAGUUUGAGUGGGAAGUCUUAGUUUACUUCUUUGAAUUCUUGUGGUAGUAAACUGUUGGGAUUUUUAUUGUAUUUAAAAUGUCAAUUCUACCUAUCAUUUUGAACAGUCAAAAGUAGAAUGUGAGUGCUUGAUUAAUCUUGCCAAGCCUUUCAUGGCAAAAUCAAGUGUUGUCGAUAUCAAGACAGGAAAGCGUACAGAAAGCAGGAUUUCCUGAUGCUAAGGCCAAAUUUAGUUCUGUGCCAGGGUGGAAUGAUUUAUCCGAAUGUGCUAGAAAGGGUCUAUCAGUGAAACCAAAAACCACACUAGAUGCAUCUAGUUUACAUGGUUAUAAACUAUUAAAUCCUGUAACUGGAUCAGCCGUAAAUAUAUUGAGGAGUUCAAAGUUAAGGCAUUGCCUGUCCAGGUACUUCUAAAGACUAAGGAUGAGCCUAUUGUUUUCCUAAAAAUAGGGGUCAAGAAUUUAACGAUGACUUAUAAAAAACUAAGUGGGAAUUUCAUCCCUAAAAUCUCCAUUCUCAGACUAGAUAUAUAGGCUUGAGCAAGUGGAUAUAUUAUGGUUUAUUUGAUUUUUAUUUUGAAAACAAUUUUAUAAUAUAAAUUUAAAAAAUUCUUUAAGACAAAACAAGAACUCUUAGAUAUUGACUUAAUUCUAAGGUGAUGGUUCAAUUAAGCUUCGCACAUGGGGAACUAAAAGAAGUAUCAUUAGAUUUAAUCAAUUGGUCUAGAUUUGUUAGAAAUAUAAAUGAGAACAUUCUCACAUUCACAUACGCAAAUAUGCCCCACCUCUCCCCCAUUUGUUUGUAAGCAUGUCAUGGCGAGUUUUUGCAAGUGCGAAAUUUCCUAGAGUUAUUUAAAACAAUCAGAUCCACAGUUCUUUUGUCAAGCCUUUUGUAAGUGUAUGAUUCGGAUCUUCUAGCUCGCGCUACUAAAACUAUCCCUAGAAAAACACACAUAAAUUCAAGUGGCCAAAGAAGUUCACAAAUGGGACCUUCAGAUCCAAAGAGAGUAGCAACAUCUGCCAAAAAUAGUUCUCAUAUCAAGAAUUAUGAAACUGCAAUCAAGGGCAUUGAUGACUUGAAAUUAAAGAAUGAUGAUGCACAUCAAUAAUUUCUCACAUUUUUUACUGAUAUAAAAAUUUGAGUUGACCUUCCCUCUGUGGUGUGGUUUGCUUCAAUAAGUUCACAGAUUCCAUUGACCAUAGUCUUUUGCGUUUCCUCUUAAUUUAUUACCACUACCAGUUGUUCCUAACACAUCAUCUUAUGUGCGGUCGUGGAUCUAAAAAUAUUAUUUAUUGGGGGUAAGAAAAUAAAUAUAAUAUUUUUUACAAAAAAAAUCAAAUAAAGACUCCAACAGUUAUUAAUUAAAAAAAAAACAUGAAGAUUUAAUUGGUCUUAGAAAUAAAAAAGGUAAUAAUUUAUAACAUUAUAAGUUUUAUAAUUAAGUGAGUUAAAAUAAUCUAUAAUAUUUUUACAUAAAAAUAUUUGAUUCUCUAACUUUAAAAUAAAAGAAGGUGAAGUGUAUAAGAAUGGAAGGGAGAAAUAUAAUAUAAUGGGAGUAAAGAUGUAAGAGAAUUAGAAAAAGUGUGGUGAAGGCGAACAUCUAUUUUUUGUUAUAUGUUUUAAAGUGUAAAAAAUAAAUAAAUUUCCCCUUAUAAAAAGGUUGUGGGCAAAAGUCUCGUUAACAUUUGAGUUUGAACUCCGAUUAGACAAAGUUCUACAAAUGUGUUUAAAAAUUUUAGAAUUCCUUUUCAUGAAUAUAAAGUUUGAGUUUUCUAAAAAAGUUUGUGUUUUAGAAAAUUUAAAAAUGUUUUUCUGGUACACAAAAUUCGGAUUUUCUAAUUUACAUUUGUGUUAUGGAUGUUUUUUUUUAAGUUUUUUUUUAUAAUUAUUUUUGAAAAAAAUAGAGUAACAUAGGUAAUUGCAUAAAAUGUGGAGGUAAGAGUAUAAAUGUGAGGUAGGUAUAAGGUAAAUUUAUCAAAAUUCUAUGGUUAAAAAUAUAUCAUCAAAUUAAGUCUCUAAAAUUAAAAAUCCCCUAAAAUUAAGUGGGCUAAUUGGAUCUAUAGACCCACUUUUUUUCAAAUAUUUUUUUUUGGGAAAUUGCUUUUCAAUAUUUUUCCAAUAAAUUUUCAAAAUUUUUAUGAGAAAAAAAAAGAUUUUGAAACUUUUCUGAAAAAAAAAAUGUUUGAAUUUUUUUUAGAAUGAUUUUUUCAUGAGAAAAAAAUAUUUUGAAAUAUUUUUAAGAAGAAUAAUUCUAUUUUUUUAAUAAAAAAAUAUUUCAAAUAAUUCUUUUUAAAAUAAAAUAUGAUUUUUUUCUUAUAAAAAAAUUCAUAUAUUAUUUUGGAAAAAAUCUUAGUUGACAAGACAAUGAACACAUGAACCCUUCACUUAUACCCAAAUAAAAUAAAAUAAUAAUAAUGAGUUGGGACCUCCAAAAAUUGUCAAAUCAUAAUUAAAGGGCUUGGUAGAAUGUUCCUUAAAGGGAGCUUAACACUUUAGAACUUAAUUGACGACUAUAUAAAUAUCUAUCGGUAAAUAUGCAAUUUGAUCAAUCACUUUAUUAAUUUGUAUCAACUUAAUCUUUCACUUAUUCAUAAUUUCAAAAUAGUUUAUUUAUUUAUUUCACUAUUAAUUAAGUUAGUGUCAAUUCAAAUUAAAUAAAAAUGAACUAACAUGUUAACUACCACAUAAUCAAAUUUUGAGGAUCUAUUUAAUACUUUUUAGUAAUGAAAUCUUGCCGGUUGCCGUGUUUGCUCAAUAAUGUUUGAGAAUAUUUUAGUAUUUUUUAAAAUAAUUAUUAAAAGUUAGAAAUCUCUUGUUUUAUGAUAUACCAAGUCAAAAAUCUUCUUAUUCCUCACACUCUCUAGCACUUAAACCUUGUUCACAAGCUUUAGCAUAAUCUCAUUGUGUUCUUUCAUAACAUUUGAUUGUUGUCUCUGUGCUAUUAUCAUUCGAUUAGCCUGGUCAUAAGUUCACCCUCAUUUUUCAAUAUUUAUCCUCUUCUUGAAAUGCAAUAAUCCAAAUCAUCAAUGGAAGAAAAAACUAUAAUAAAUGAUAAAAACCAUAAUAAUGAAAGAAUCAACACAAAAAUAAUUUAAGUUAUUUAGAGUAAAACCCCCUAAAGAGAUCAUAAGAUACAAACAAUCAAAGUAAUUAAAAAAAGUGCAUAUUUAAACAUUAUCUUUCAAAUAGGACAACUAAAGAAUGGUCGAUCCGAGUUUGCGUAUGUCCUUGAAAUCGUUAUCAUAGUUUUGCUCAUACAAAAACAAAAAGAACUGGAUGAUUUUUCUCAAUACACGAUUUAUCAAACCCUAAAUUACCAAUAAUGCUUUUUCUUUUCAUAGAUGGAGUAAAUCGAGAGCUACCACCCAUCUUAUCAUAUCGUUUUUCCAAAUAUAAUAAAAUUUAUAGAAAAUAAACAUAGGUGGAACAAUACAUUAAUGGAGGAAGGAAAUAAAAUUAGAAAGGAAGACUUCUCAACAAUGUGUUGUAUAAAAAUACAAUUCAUUGCUAAAUUUUAUUGUCUAUUAGUAGGUGUAUAUGACAACUUUUCAAAUUUAAACAAUAUCAAUUAAGUUCUCGAGAUUGACUUACAUGACACUUAAUAUAACAAUUUACUAUGAUCAAAUGAAAGAUUAAAUUGAUACAAAUUAACAAAGUCAUAAAUGAAAUUGAGUAUUUAAUCUGAAACCUUGUGUUAGAUUAUAAUUCCUUCAUUGGAUGGGUUUAGAAACUUUGACUAAACUUAAAUGUUGAGGCGGCCUUGGCAUUGGAACUUCAAGUAAGUCUAAUAUUGCAAUGUUUGGUACAAAAUGUUUGGGGCGCUAUCAACAAUCUCCACGUCCCAAAUGCUUAAAUUUCUAAAUAUCUUGGUGAUAAACAUUUGUUGCGUGCCACUAUUACUCCUGUGUUUGGAGUACAACUAUGAAGGCUAUUAACGUCCUGAAGGUUGGUUGUACUUGUUUGCAGAUUAAUUUUUUCAUUUUUAAUGAGUUUGUAUUGUAUUGUUUCUUAUAUAAGUAUUUUUUUGAUCAAAAUGCAAUAUUAAAUAAAUUGAUACGAUAGGAGUAUAAUCUGCUUUAAUUUAUCCUCUAUUGCUAUCAAUGCUAUUAAUGAGCAUUAAAAAGUAUUUAAUAUUUUAAUAAGCAAUACUUUUAUAACCGUGAAGGUUAAUCAUAAUAAUAAGGACUUGUGCCGCAAGGAAAGCUUCUCGUGCGCUUCAGUCUCCGACAUCCGUCAACUUACUUGAAAGGGUUCUGAGUUCUGAUUCACGAUUAAAAUCCCAGUCGCGCUGCUGUCAAAAUCUUCGUCGUUCACAAUGUCUGAGACAGAUUCGGAAAAGCCACAUGGUAAAAUCAUUCACAUUAAUCGCUGCGUUUUACAUUUCCUUCCAUUUUUCUAACGGAAAGUUUUACAGUUACAGAUGAGGUGAAGGAAGAGACCGAUUUACGACUCACCUAUCGGAAGGGUGAAAACUUCGAAGAGUGGUAUUCAGAGGUACACUACUUGUUCCAUUUCCGUCUUAAACCCUAGCUCUCUCUCUAUUGAUAUAAAAACAACUUUCUGACCUGUUUGAUUGUGGCUUUCAAUUACUCCUACAGGUUGUCGUUAAGUCGGAAUUGAUUGAGUACUACGAUGAUAUUUCUGGUUUAUAUAUUCUCAGACCUUGGGCAAUUGCAAUGUGGGAGAUUUUGCAUGUAUGUUUCUUAACUAUCUAAUGCCGUUUAUUGUUUUAUACUCUUCAUUAGCAAGCUACUGAGUCGAUACAUAUUUAAAAUUUAUGACUCCUUCCAAUUGGUGGCGUUUUUGUUUUGGAGAAAUUAAGGGCAUGUGAAAAUUUAUAAUAUGGCUUGGGGAUUUGAAUUUUAACGGUUAUUAAUUAUUAUUUUCUAACAGACAUAGAUAAAAUGUAGGAAAAGAUAAAUUUCUCGACUACCGGGAGAGGUUGUUGGAUCUUUGACAAAUAUCGUGCACAACAUGAUGAUAAGGAUUUAGUGAAUGGGAACUUUGGAUAAUUCAUAACUUCUAUUAGUUGGUAAAUUGGUCAGUUAGUUUUAGUUAUGAUCCAUGGAACCCUGUUAUAGACCUUGUUACAUGUAGUAAAGUUUGCUAUCGUUUGUUGCCUUGUAUAUACAUGUAAUAUGUACUUUUGUAAAUAAAAUCAUAUAGUUCUUUUCAAAAAUCUCAAUAGGGAAACAAAUCACACAUCCCCUUCUUUUGUCCUUCCAAUUAAAAGAUAAAACCUCACACAAAUUAAUGACUAAGAUAGAGAAUGCUGAUAUUUAACAGGGUAAAGUUUAUUUCAUUCCUAGUGUAAAGAUGGUUUGUUGCAAGUCCUUGCAGCCUAACUCAUUCAUUUCUUUUAGAAUUGGUAGUUCAUUUAUGAUUCCUUAUUUUACUUUGUGAAAAUGUAAUUUGUUUUCAUUUUCUAAAUAUGUGUUCAUUUUCACUAGCUAUUGAAGUGAACUAUUUUGGUGGAGAGAAUUAAAUGCUUGUUAAUAAUGAUGCAUUUUCAGAAAAUGACUAAAUAACUCUUUUGGCAUCUUGAUUGUUUCAAGGAAAGUAGAUAGUUGUUCACUUCAAGAGAGUCUCUCAUCUCCUUGUUAGCAAGUAAAUGUAACACGAGUUUUAGAAAAUGAAAAUAAAAAUUAUUUUACAAAGUAAACGAACCCUUUGAUCCUUCAAACUUGCAUAUAGAAUUACACAGUUAUUUUAUUUUCUGUUAAGCGAUACUUAACUCAGACUUGCUUUCAUAUCAAAAACAAAUGUGCAGGAUUUUUUUGAUCCAGAAAUAAAGAAAAUGAAGGUCGAGAACUGCUACUUCCCUUUGUUUGUGUUGAAGCCUCAUUUGGAAAAGGUGAAGGACCAUCAUGAUUCUUUUGAUGAACAGGUGAGAGUUUCUGAAUUUGGUGGUUAGGACAUUUAACAGUUUCCGUUCAUACCACACGGAUUGAUUGCUCUUAAAAAUCUUUAGAUCAUUGCAUGCUUAAAUCAUUUGUUGUUUCCUAAUUGUUUUAUCAAUGUUUCUCAUUUUACUGAUGAUGUUUUUGUGUUAAAAUAUUGUAUUUAACAUUUUUCUUUAUAAUAACUCUAUCACUUAUGCUGAUUGUUAUGAACUGAAUUUAGAUGAGGUGUACGAAAUGACUGCUAUGAACUUACAAUUUCUUUUUAUCCAUCACAAUCAUUUAUAUUACCGUACACCUAUGCAUGGUUAGUUUUGUGUAACUGUCGUCAACGUUUGUGAGGAAAGUCUUCGUAUCAUUUAGGACGACUCUAAGUCUAUACAACUUCAUUUCUUCCUUUGAGGACAUUAUUAGUAUUUUUUUAUAUUAUUUCUUGCUCGUUUGCCAGGUUGCUUGGGUGACAAAGUCUGGAGAAACUACAUUGGAAACUCAACUUGCUCUUCGUCCAUCUAGUGAAAGUAUCAUGUAUCCCUACUACUCUAAGUGGAUAAGGGGACAUCGUGACUUACCGUUGAAACUUAAUCAAUGGUGCAAUGUUGUUAGAUGGGAGAUCGGAAAUCCCACACCAUUUAUCAGGCACUUUUUUUUUACUUUUUUUCACUAUGUUUUCUAUUCUUCAUGUUAUAACAAUGUGUUGGCUGCUGUAACAUAAUGAAAAGUUUAAAGCUUUAAAUAAAAUGCUUUAAAAAUUCCAAAAAUUGAUAUUCUGUAUUGUGGUUAUAUGUCUUACAUAGUGUCAUAAAAUCCAGCACGUUUUCUUUUUGAAUGAAUGUUCAUCUGGUAGUGAUUCAGGUGAAUUAUUCAUAGUGAAGCAGGCUAGCAAAACACUUUUUUUCUAGAUUGUUUUUAAUCUGAACUUUGCAAGAAAUAAUACUUGUUAAAUACUAAUUUCUUAUUGAUAUCUUAGAUAUUGUUUUUAUCACACACAUCUACUUUGUAUGGAACUUGUUUAUAGUCAAUUUCAGGGUGCUUAUACAAUUUUUUAUCACAGGAGUCGUGAGUUUCUUUGGCAAGAAGGACACAGUGCUUUUGCAUCAAAAGAUGAAGCAGAUGCAGAGGUAUUCAAUCAAAUAGUUAUUUUAGGGAUUUCUCGUUUGAUCUAUUUUCAUUAGUAAUCUUCCUUAAUUUACGCAUUUUGGUAUCCGUAAUGAGUCUUUAAGCACCUUCUCCUAUCUCGUGCUUCCUUGUUGCUUCUGGUGCAUACAAUUUUCUGAUACUAACAUGUUCAUAAUUUCAACCCAAGCACGCAGACUGCUCAUCUUUUAAAAUUUUAGUUUUCAAAAUUCUGUAAAUUGUUAUUGUUUCAGGUUCUUGAGAUAUUGGAAUUAUAUAGGUGUAUAUACGAAGAGUAUUUGGCAGUUCCUGUCAUUAAGGGUACGAAAAGUGAAGUUGAAACAUUUGGCGGUGCAAUUUACACUACCACUGUUGAGGUUCAUGUCUAACAUUCUUCUGUGGACAUUGAUAUGUUGUUUGAAUGGUAAAAAUUUAGAAGGUUUUUAAAAUGUUGAUGUUCAAUUUUCCUAGGCAUUUAUUCCAAACUCUGGUUGUGGGAUACAAGGUGCAUCUUCCAAUUGUUUAGGACAAAAGUUUGCUAACAAGUUUGAGGUCAACUUUGAAAAUCAGAAUGGACAGAAAGGCAUGGUUUGGCAGAACUCAUGGGGAUAUUCUACUCGAACUGUAAGCUUUUAAUGUAGAAAGAAUAUAUAUACAUUUGAGGAUUCAUUUAUAUAUGUUUGCAUUUUUAUUUUUUUUCUGCUUUUAUAACAGAUUGGGGCAAUGGUCAUGGUUCAUGGUGAUGACAAAGGAUUGGUGUUGCCUCCUAAAGUAGCAUCCAUUCAAGUCAUUGUGAUUCCAAUGCCUCACAAAGAUGCUGAUGCUCAAGGAAUCUUUGACAAUUGUUCUGCAACUGUGAAAUUGUUAAGUGAAGCAAAAAUCCGUGCUGAGUUAGAUUCUAAUAAUUACUAUUCUCAUGGAAGGAAGUGUAUGGAGUGGGAAAUGAAAGGGGUUCCUCUAAGGAUUGAAAUUGGACAAAAGGAUUUAGCAAAUGAGCAGGUUACCAAUGUUGUUUGGUUGUUAAUUUGAUUCUUAUAUGUCAUUUUAUUUCUACCCUGUAUGUUCAAUGAAACACCCAAUAAAUGUCUUCAAUUUUGCCCAGGUUCGUGCUUUUCGACGUGAUAAUGGAGCAAAGGUUGACAUUGCUUAUGCUGAUUUGGUUGAGAAAAUAAAGAAGUUGCUCAAUAAUAUUCAGCAGAGUAUGUUCGAUGUUGCAAAACAAAAACGAGAUGAAUGUAUUCAAGUCAUUCAUACAUGGGAUGAGUUUGUUGAAGCUUUGAAUCAAAGAAAGAUGAUCUUAGCUCCUUGGUGUGAUGAGAAGGUAGAAAUUGUGUAUUUUUUUAUACAAUUACAAUAAUCCAGGUGUAACAAUAAUAUUCUUGCCAAGUUUUGAGAUUUUAGGUGUUUUAUUUUGAAUUCUAAAAUUAUGAAAAACGCAAACACGCACUCUAGACACGACACUUGCAUGCACCCGAUACAUACACUUGUAGUCCAAAUUAUAGGAUGCCAACAGCAAUAUUUAUAAAAGGUCUAAUUUUGAGAAUAAAAAGCUUUAUAUUUUCAUCAUCAUAUCAAAUACAACUUGUUAAGUAUUGCAUUUUUUAUAAUGAAUCUCACCACAAAAUACUAAGAGAUAUCAUUAUAAAUUUGAACAAUCCUAUGGUUGUGUUUUGGUAAAAGGAACUUUCUUGGUAACUGUUUUUGAUCUAUAUAAUGCUUCAGGAGGUGGAAUUAGAUGUCAAAGAAAGGACAAAGAGUGAGAUGGGAGCAGCGAAGGCUCUAUGUAGUCCCCUUGAUCAGCCAGAGAUCCUAGAAGGUAAAAUCCUUGUUUCAUAUGUUUUUGUCAAUGUUUGCUUCUGUUACUGUAUGAACAAUUCGCUGUAUAUCACAAUUGAUCUUGAUGUUGCUUAAUAUUUAAUCUUCCCAGUGAUGUUUUUUCUUAAUAAGACUGUGCGGUGUUGGUUUUACAGGCACGAAGUGCUUUGCAUCAGGUAAGCCUGCAAAGAAGUGGACAUACUGGGGAAAAAGUUACUAGGCGUAUUUUGAGGUUUAAUCCGUGUGUAUCAUUCCGUUUUUUCGAACAUUAUCUCAAAUUAGCAGCGGCAAGAAACACAGUCCAUUUCUUUUGUUAAACGAUUUAUUAUUAAAAUACUGCUACCCAAAUUCUUGUGAUAUUUUUCAACCAAAGUAUUUUUUGAGUAUUGUGAAACAUAGAGCACGGAAACCUAAAGAACACAAAUAACAAUUUACUAAAACACAAUCGUCAAAUUUAAUUAAAAUUAUAUGUCACUGCAAAAUAAUAAGUCAAUUAUGUCAGAGUUUAACUGCCGUUUCAGAUACAUAGAACUUAAGGUUCCCAAGUUGGUCAAUCUAACCAAAAUCCAGCCAACAAAAGAAGAUCUAAAGACUAGAAUAGCGUCUCCCCAAAAGCCUUCCUUUGAUUGGUGGCAUCGGCUUCUUCGCCACAAUUUCGCAGGCUGUUUUGCGGAGCCUUCCACAGUACAUCCUCUCAUCAUGGGAGUAAGAGUCUGAGAAGAGAACUCAACUCCAGCUGCUAAAAGCUCCCUCUUCUAAGCCUUCUAUAAUCAGUUUUAACGGAUAUUGAAAAUCUACAAUUUUGUAACACCUCACGCCUUGCGUAACUACCUCCUUCAUGUUGUCUUUUGAAGAUCUAAGAAGGGAGUAUUCUCUCUUGUCCAAAACCGGGUCUGGAAGAAGCUGGAAGGUUGGAAGGAAAAAUGCCUCUCACAAGCGGGAAAAGAGAUUUUGAUCAAAGCUACAGUGCAAACUAUCCCCCACUACAUAAUGAGCUGCCAUAAAGUUUUGAUGAGUGCUACAAAGAGAUAGAGUCAAUGGUAGCUGAACUUUGGUGGGGACCAAAGGAUGGAGCUCGGAAGAUACAUUGGAUGUGUUGGAACAGAUUGGCAAAAUCGAAGUAAAGUGGGGGAAUGUGAUUCAAAGGAUUUCAACAUAGCGCUCCUUAGUUAGCACGGCUGGCGCCUACUGACUGAGGAGAACUCCUUAAUGGAGCGGAUCUUCAAAGCUAGGUACUACCCAAGAAGCUCAUUCAUGGAAGCUAUGCUUGGAGAAGUAUCCUCAGUGUGCACAAGAAGCCAUGGAUUUUUAAUUAACUUAGAAUUUACCAUAAAAAGAAUAACAUCCCAGCCUGUUCUAACCCCCUUGACAGUAGCUUAGACUCUAAUUCUGUUGAAGAUAGAUUUUUUUGUUGAUGCUGGAUGUUAUGUAGGAGGAUCCACAAGAUAGGGAAUGGUUUUUUUUGAUAGAUCCAAUGCUGGCCGAGUUUGAACCUGUCUCUUUGACAACAUCGAAGUUGAACCUGUUAUGGCUGAAGCAUUGGGUGUUUGUUGGUCCUUACAAUUUGCGCUGGAACAUAACAUGAAGAGAAUUUCUUUAGCUACUGAUGCAGCUUUCGUUGUUAACAACCUCAAUAUUAAGUGUUGCUUAGCCGCCAUUGAUCCUAUCAUGCUAGAUUGUAAAAUGUUGACGAAACACUUUGAAUUUGUGUCUGUUUAUCAUGUAAGAAGGCGCUUAAAUGUUGUAGCUCACAAGUUAGUAGGUUUAUCUAGGAGUAUUGGCUCCAAAACUUGGAUGGGAUCUCUCCCACACCAGCUGCAAGCUGAUCUUUUGUUUGUUUUUCUGUAUGUUGAUUGAAUGAGUUUACCUUAAAAAAAAAACUAUAAUGUUCUCUAUAAUAUACUCAAAAAUAGUGCCUGUGUACUCUAGCCAACCCUU